RNAcentral lists this long non-coding RNA (51457 nucleotides) under Sorghum bicolor (sorghum). Its description in RNAcentral is "long non-coding RNA (SBIC_LNC007607)". The record is from RNAcentral. Lineage: Eukaryota; Viridiplantae; Streptophyta; Magnoliopsida; Poales; Poaceae.
GGAAAAUGAUUGUGACAAGGUGAUCCAAGCUCUAAAAGGAAAGCUCUUCAGAGUAUCCUCCUUGCUUUCAUAGGUUUUCCUUGCAAGAGUUGUCUUCCCUAAACCACCCAUGCCAACCACACAUAUCACCUUAGCAGGACCGUCCAUAAUGGUGACAUCAAUCAUAGCAAUCAACUCUCUUUUUGGUGCAUCAAAACCCACAAGUUCUGCUUCAUCAAUGUUGCUUGCUGAGUUAUUGCGAAUAUCUUCCAUGUUGGAAUCCAUCUCAUCAGUGAUGUUGGAGGAUUCCGUCUUGAUUAACUUGUAGCGCUCAUUCCUGUUGCUCACUUCUUCGAUUCUUGAUUUGAGGUUGCGAAUCCGGACAGCUAUUCGAUGCCGAUCUCUGAGCUUCAUCAACAGGUUUGAGAAGCUAUGGCGCCCCACAUGAAGCAUAAACUCGUCAAUGCAAUCUUCAAUGUCAUAGGACAGAUCUCGUACUUGCUCUGCCCAAACCUUCACUAGUUUAUCCUUUUUUUCUGUUACUUGAGGUGCUUGCAGAAAUGCUUGGAUGGUUUUUAGUUCGUCUUUGAUGAACCUGUAGAACAAUGGGUAAAAUAAAUUCAUAUUCACGUUGUGGAAAAGAAAUAAAGUUGUCCAAUAAUCUUCCACUUGGAACACGCAGUUUCACACCUUAAGCCACUCUGUAUCCUGUAGAAGCUAUAUAUGUGGUGGGAGGGCCAAAUUAACACAAAUUUUUUUUGUUGUUCGAUGUCGAUUCCAGGCCUCAAUCACAAACCUACUUAGUCGUUAUUUACUUGAUGCUUGAAAAAUCAGAUAUCGGGACACUGAGCUUCCUAGUUAUGCUCUGAAUAAAUCAGCUGGGAGUCAGUUGCAGCAUGCUUACCACAUCUCCUUCUGCACGCCCAUCAGCAAGCUUAUCUCAGUACCGGCCGCUGACGCCGCCUUGCUGACGGCGCUGCCUAGGACCGACUUUGCCAUGAUGAGCGCCGUCUCCGCCAUAUCUGGUUACUCUCCAAACAAUGCAGCUCCCAGUUCUCCUCGAUCACACUCGGAGGCUGAAAGAAUCGGUACAAGCACUGAUUAUCUUUGUACAGCUACUUCAAAUGUCUUCUCUUGAAGUUUUUGAUGGUACAAACAUCCUAAAAAAAAGUUUAUAAUAAGCACUAGGAAUUUGGGGAAGUCCUCGAUAAAAAGAGUUCUUUCUAUAGUCUGCUGUUAGGCCUUGUUUAUUUCACCUCAAAAACCAAAAACUUUUCAAAAUGUCUCGUCACAUCGAAUCUUGCGGUACAUAUAUGAUGCAUUAAAUAUAGACAAAAACAAAAAUUAAUUGUACACUUUACGAGUAAAUCGUGAGAUGAAUCUUUUGAUCCUAAUUAGUUUAUAGAGAAUUAGACAAUAAUUAUUAAAUAAAAACGAAAGUGCUAUAGUAUCCAAAAUCCAAAAAAAAUUCGGAACUGAACAAGGCCUGAAAACACUUAAUACCAAAAACUGGACAAAGCUCUGUUGAUCUAAUAAGAUACAAGUAGAAACGAAAACAAACAUCAGAUCAUCCAGAGAACUGCAGAGAAUGGGUUUCACUUACUCGGCCUCUCCCUCGGGAAAACUUGGUGUCCGAAUUGAAAGACCCAGAGUGGUUUCCGGUGUAACUGUAGGAACGCUCUUGCAACAAUCAAGCCCGCGAGGAUGGCAGUUUGCUCAGGGAUCCGAGCUAGUAAGGAUUUCAAGCUUGGAGCGCCGAAAGGUGGCGGUGGAUUAAUGGUAGCAUUUGCUCCGGUUGCUAGCGCAUCGCCCUCCAUAAUCCAUAUUGACUCAGGUCCCUCGGCGCCAGUCAACAUGCAUCCUCGGCCACACAAUGGGUGAAAAUAUCUGGUUAGCAGGGCCCUAAAAGUCUUCCUAUAUGUCGCUGGCAUGCUGAUCCUACCAGUCAUUUCAGCUAACCAGAUGUUAGAAAAAUGAAAUGGGAAACACAGGAAAUAGGAAGAGAAAGGUAUGCUGGCAUGCGCCUUUCGAGCACGUCAUGUUGUGCUGCUCUACUCUGUAUGUCAACAACAAUGUCACAAAAGAAAAUUCAUUGCGAUGCCUGGGAUACGAUGAAAACGCAACAUUUAAACCGACAGGUUCAUGCAAUCAUGCAUUGCAACACAGGACAUACAGGCCUUAGUUACAUCUAAAAUCCAAUUUUUUUUAAGAUUCUACGUCAUAUCGAAUCUUGCAACACAGGACAUAUAGGCCGAAAAACACAUCGGAUCACUAGAGGAUCUUUGCCGAGGGCCUCCGGCCUUCGGCAAAGGCUAUAAGACCCUCGGCAAAGGCUUUGCCGAGGGCUGCCCUCGGCAAACAGCCCUCGGGAAAAUUUCCGUCGGCGAAGGGAUCUUUGCCGAGGGCUGUUUGUCGGGCACUCGGCAAAGAUUUUGCCGAGGGCUGACGCCGGCCUUCGGGGAAAAAAAGAUACCGUUAGGCUACGGGCUGCAACUGACGGCGUCUUUGUCGAGGGCCCAUCGUUGGGCCCUCGGCAAAGAAUUUUUUAAAUUUUAUUUUGGGUAAUUUCUUUGCCGAGGGUUUCCAUGCAGGCCCUCGUCAAAGAAUUUUUAAAUUUUUAUUUGGGUAAUUUCUUUGCCGAGGGCUAGCCCUCGGCAAAGUCUCUUUUUUUAUUUUUUCUGGAGAAUUCUUUGCCGAGGGCCUUGACCAUAGCCCUCGGCAAAGACCUGUUUUUUAUUUUUUCUGAGAAAUUCUUUGCCGAGGGCUAUGGUCAAGGCCCUCGGCAAAGACCAGAGAAAUUUUAAAUUUUUUUGUUUGUUUAUUUGCAUCCAGACAAUAGACAGAUACAUAUAUAUACCAUCACACACACAGAGUCCACAACGAGCACAUACAUCUCACGAACAUCACAUAUAUAUAUCACGAACAUCAUGUAUGUACAUCCAGUAGUCCACAAGUUCACCAAAUCGAACCAAAGUUCCAAACCGCCGACACGUACGUACCGUAGGCUGCGAGAACUCACCAUCCUCCCCAACCGUCCUGCUUCUGCGUCGAGGGUGGUGUGUCGAAGGCUCCAGGAUCCGGUGACGUACGAGGUGGGUUAUUGGAUCCCGCUGUCGACUGAGGCUGCACAAACAGUUAGAUGUUUAUGUGAGAUUGCAGUAAUUAUUUCUGCACUACAGUUACAAAGAAGAAGUUAACUUUGACACUUACAGUAGAACUAAACGGCGGCGGUAGUUGAGGCGCUGGAGCUGACAUCGUGACGUCCACACCUGUAUGCUGCCCCAGAGCGGCCAGGACCCUCAUCAUCUCAGCCAUCCUCUCGUCUUGGGCCUCUCGCGCGAGACGCUCAGCCUCCAGCCGAGCAGUGAGGGCCGUGAUCUGCUCCGUCUUCUAGGCGUUGUCGGCCUGCAAGAUUACACUCCAAUGUUUCAGUAAUGCAAAUGUAAUUUAGUUGCGAGAAUAUUAAUUUACUAUGAGUGAACCUAGAAUUACCUAGAGCGAAGCUAACAUGCUCACUGUCGGAGUCGGCCGUGCACGGAUGGGCUGGCUGGAGCUUGUGCUCUGUGCUCUGAGCUGGCUGAGAGUGGGGGUGGUGUUGGGGUCGAUGGCGCGUUUGCGAUCCAGGCCCGGCCGUGCUUCCUACCGCCACCGAGCCUCAUGACGGCCUCGGCAUCUAGUGGCUCGGUGCGAACGUCGUACUCUGGCCCGUGCCGCUCCCGUACCGCCGACGUGUACUCCUGGACCUUAUUGUACACGUUGGGGUCGGAGUACGCCUCGCGAGCGGCAGCUGCGUCCCAGGUCCGUUGGCCUGCAGUCUGGUGAGACGCAGCCCAAGCCGUGAACAUGGACACCUCCUCGUUCGGGUGCGCAGCCUCCUACGAGAAAAGCGACAGAGGGUGAGUAAUCAAGCAUACAUUAAACACGAAACUAAAUAGAAGACAAAUCACUUACAUAUGAUUUUUUGAAGGCGGGGAGGCUCUUGCUGCCUUGGUGGUGAGUGGCAGCUGGUCUUUGCAGACGCAGUGCCCGCUGAAACUCGUGCCUGUCUAGGUAGUCCUGCGUGAACCACCUACCCACGAUCGCGGCCCAGGCAUCGGCAUGCGCCCGACACCACCAGGGAAUCACCUACAAGACAAUGAGUGUUUGACAGAUAUGAAGAUAUAAUUGAAUAUAUUAAAUUCAAAAAAGAGACAAUCUGAAUGUUAUUCAUCUGCCUCCAGGUACUGCUCCUGGGUCAUCGUCAUCGUCCGCGCUUGAGCCUUCGUGAUAGUCAUACUACGCGCCGACGCGUAGAAGUCUAUCACUGCCUGGACGCGCGCCUCAUGGUGCAUGUCGGUGACAUACUUCCUACAGGAGGCGUGCGCCACAGACUCAGCCAGGGCCACGUCUUCGUCCUCCACCCUGAAGUACCUCUGCACAAAAGAUAAUACAUCCUAUCAUUAUUUAAAAAAAUAGAUUUUAAUGUAAUGGAUUAAUUAUUGUUGUGCGAAAGGAACUUACCUAAAACUCGGCCAGUAUCCUCUCCUGGGGGUUGCGGUACGUGCCGUCCUCCCCUAAAGCUUACCUGUCCCACGUGGUGGCCGGCUCGCGGGCCCCCGACGCCAACUCCACGAGGCCGGGGAAGUACUUCCGGCACAGGGUACCCAGGAUGGUCGGGGGAGCGCGCACGGGAGUACCCGACACCAGAUCCCAAGACCUGCACCAGUUAGAAAAAAAAUAGUCAGUUUCUCUCUAAACCCUCAAACCUAUCAGAUGAGGUAGUUGUGAUAUCAUUUAGAUUUACUUACUUGGGCGGUACAGGGCGAAGCAGUGCCCGACUCUGAGGUAGUGGGUAUGGAGGGAGCUUCGCGGGACCUCGCUGGUAGACACCCGACGCCGCGCCUCCCUCGUCCUCAGGUGCCGCGCCGUGCUCCUCGUCAUGGCCCUCGACCUGGUCCUCGUCCUGGUCCUCGUCCUGGUCCUCGUCCUCCUGGUACUCCUCCUCCAGCGUCGGAGCCACGGGGUCUGGGGUGGGACUCCGCGGCCUCCUACGCCCUUGGCUGGUACUCGUCGUGGAAGGCCUCCCCCUCCUGCGGCGUCCUGCGGCGGCUGCCCCUGACGACUCUGCCUCGCCAGUGAGGGAAGGGCGUGUCGCGUAGGCCGAGGGUGUGUCACGUCGUGGCCGCCUGCUCGCCAUCUUUGAUCAAACACCUGCACACACAAAGAAUGAAACAAGACUUAUUAGUAAGCAUAUUAGAGACUUGAAAAUAAAUAAACAAAACAAAAAUGUCAAUAAUUUAAAAAAGACAUAGUAUUACAUGUAUUACGAAUAGUCCUCGUGGUUGGGAUUAUAUGUCUCGUCAUCACUGUCAAUAUUAUCCAAAUAAGCGACACUAUCCGAAGGUCCUACGUCAUCGUCUUCGUCUUCAUCACCAGCGACAAGUAAUCGCUCAAGCAUUUGUAUGUCCUUGGCAUUUUGCACCACGUCUCCAUCAUCCUCGUCAUCAACCGUUUCGUUGUCUUCUUCCAUUUCGAGGGCCUGAGGUAGGAGUAUCUGAAGUGUCCCCGAUAGCCCAUCUUCCUGAUAGAACUCUCCAUCAUAUGUGUUUGUGUUAAAGUUGUAAUCGUCAUCGUUUGGGGCUGGGAGUUUCCCGUGUGGAGAAACCUGGUGCACAAUAGCCCACCCCUGAAGCUCUUGUUUGGCUUGAUUCGCAUAUCUCUUGUAAUACACCUGCACGGCCUGUUGAGCCACAAUGUAGAUAUCCUUUCCUGGAUAUACAGAAUCUUCUCGCACCUCGACUAGCCCAAGACUAGGGGUGAGUCUCGUUUCGCGAGGAUUAAACCAGUGGCAUUUAAACAUGACAGGUUUCAGAGGUUUGUCACCAUCAAAUUCAAGUUGGUAGAUGUCCUCAACUCUUCCAUGGUAGUCGAGGCCAUCAGUGCCGAGAGUACAAACUCCACUAUUUGUGGUUUUCCGAUUGGGCCGGAUAUUCUCGUAUCUUGUUGUGUGGAAGCGAUAACCGUUCACAUCAUAUCCGGUAAAUGACUUCACCCUAACUUGGCAGCCGUUUGCAACCUGUUUCAACUCGACACUCAUGGACGAGUCGGUCCGGGCCUUUCGUUUGAACCAAGAAAUAAAAUCAGGCCUAUCCGCUCCCGGGCCCCGGGAUAGAAGGAUGUCUUGUUCUUGCGGGGUUGGAUCUCUUGGUUCAUUCCAAGAUUCACGAACAAAUUCCCCGAUAAACGGUUGCAUCUCAGUAAGGUUGUUGAACAAGUAUAGCAUGAUACUGCACCAUUCGUUAUUUGUCAAAAUCUUCACGGUGGAUGCACUUGUGCUACCGAGUUGUCCAUGGAAAAGACUUAGAGUCAAUUCAUUUUCGUCGACAUUGUAACGUGGAAGUGGGUUGUGAUUGCUCGGCAGAUUGGGCUUGUAGUACUGUGUAGUGAAGUUUGCCACCUCCUCCCUCAGGUAUGCCUCUGCAACGGAAGCCUCAAUUCUGGCUUUAUUUGUACAUUUCUUGCAAAGAGUCUUCAGUACCCUCUCCACUGUAAAACACCAGCGAAACUGCACAGGCCCCCCCAAACGUACUUCAGUGGGAAGGUGCACGACCAAAUGCUGCAUCGACAAGAAAAAUCCCGGUGGGAAGAUCUUCUCCAGCUUACAGACCAACACAGGUGCCUGUUUUUCUAACUCUAUAGCGAUGUUUCGAGAUACCUCCUUAGCACACAACAGGCGGAAGAAAUAGCUCAACUCAGCCAACACUUUCCAGACAUGCUCAGGGACAUACCCACGGACCAUUGCAGGGAGAAGCCGCUCAAUCCAUACAUGGUAGUCAUGACUCUUCAUCCCGUUGACUCGCAAAGUGGUUAAGUUCACUCCUCUGCUGGUCAAACGACGAAUACUUGCCACCCUUUUUCAACCAAAUAAACCUCACAGCUUCCAUGCAUACGGGACACGAAAACUUCCCGUGAACACACCAGGCGCAGAAUAACCCGUACGCCAGGAAAUCAUGUAGAGAGUAGUGAUACCAAACAUACAGUUUGAAGCUUGACCUUGUAGCUCGGUCGUAUGUCCAUACCCCUUCCCAAGCUUCAAUCAAUUCGUCAAUCAGAGGCUCCAUGAAGAUCCCCAUGUUGCUCCCUGGGUGUCCAGGAAUUAUCAAGGAUAGAAAAACGUUUUGUCGUUGGAAGGCAAUGCCAGGGGGAAGGUUGAGAGGGAUAGUGAACACAGGCCAACAUGUGUAUGGGGAAGACAUCAUUCCAUAAGGAUUGAAUCCAUCUGUUGCAAAGGCCACACGUACAUUCCGAGCCUCAGCUGCUUUCUCAGGAUGUCGAUCAUUAAAGUAUUGCCAUGCUUCAGCAUCGGAUGGAUGGACCAUCUUGUCCGGAUGGUACCGCUUGCCAUUCUUAUGCCAAGUCAUCUGUUUCGCAGUUUCCUCGGCCAUGAAAAGUCGUUGGAUCCUCGCCAUGAAAGGAAGGUGACGUAACACUCUAGCGGGGAUGGUAAGCUGCACUUUCUGGCCAUCACCAGAUACUGCCUCGAGGUAUCUUGAGGCUCCACACUUCGGACAGUACUUUGCAUUCUCGUGUUCUUUCCGAAAUAGGACGCAACCUUUCGGACAACAAUGUAUCUUAUCAUAUGGCAUCUUGAGCGCACGAAGGAGUUUUUCUGACUCGUACAAGUUUGGGGGCAGAAUAUGAUCCUUCGGUAGCAUGGUGGCAAACACAGUCAACAUCUUAUCGAAGCCUUCUCGACUCAGGUUCAGCUCGGCCUUCAGCCCAAUCACACGCCCAAUGCCAUCCAGCUGAGAAAUAGUUGUAUGCUUGUGAAGGGGUUUAGACGCCGACUCCAACAUUUUGUAGAAGGCUUCUACGUUUGCCUCCAUGUCCUCCUUGUCACGUCCUUCAGCGAACUGAGCUUGGUGAGUGUCGUCUAGCAUGUCGGCUACCCCAGCAUCAUCAUUAAAAGGCUCAAGACGUGGUCUCACCACCUCCUCUCUGAUACGGUCUUCACCAUGGUAGAUCCACCGGUAGUAGCCCGGCGUAUAACCAUGGUACACCAAAUGUUUACCCAUGGUCUCCUUGUUCACCCUCCUCUUGUUGUCACAGUGGCUGCACGGACACCAAACUAGCAAAUGCCCUCUAGCUACAACCGCGCCAAAUGCGUGGUUCAAGAAAGCAUCUAUCCUCUUCACCCAAUCCAUGUUGUAAUCAUUUCGGCUUCUUCGCCCCGUGUACAUCCACUGACGGUCCUCCAUCCACUGACGGUCCUCCAUCCUUUGACAAAUACGACACCAAGUAACGUAACCACCUAGCCGGUAUUCCUACUGUCUAAUAGGUGAGGAUAGGUCCUAAUCCCACCCGCGUAUGCGUAGAUGAGGUCAGUUUCCAUGCUCCGCUACGAUCCGAGACAGAGUUUCGGCAGCACCUCCCCGCUGUUCUCCCAAUACACGUCCUGCAAAGGAGUUUGUGUAUUCGGAGAACAAUGGAAAGGUGAUGCCGAAAUUCUGGCCCAAGAUCGGAGCGGAACAUGGAAACUAACCUCAUCUACGCAUACGCGGGCUGUCCAAGAAACAUGGACAAUCCGAAACAGAUACGAUCGGAUACACACAUUGAUCUAUAUGCAUCCAAUCGUAUCUCUUUCGGACGGGAGACGCCUAACUCGUUUACACAUUCUACGACAAAGACAAAGGAGUAGAGCUGGUUUAUACCUAAGGUGGCGGUGGAGAAAGGGUAGCGAGGCAGUGACGAGUCGGGGCAGUGGCGAGUCACAGCGGUGCAGGCAGACCAGCAGCACCGACGUAGACGAUCAGCUCCUCCGAAGCUCCUCUCACGUCCUCUGCUGUGUAAAAUAAAAAAAACAUUAGUUAAAAAUUUCGGCAGAACCUCCCCUGUACGGGGAGGUUCCCAAAACCUGCAAAACAAAAUCGACUCGAUGGCCGACACACAGAAACACGACACGACGGCCGAUAUAUUAUCAAUAGGAGGCACGAAGGCCAUCCGCAUCAAAAAAACGGCGCGAUGGCCGAGAACCUACUACUACUACUACUGAAAAUAAAUUUUUGAACCUAACUAAAAUUUCUAACUAUACAAACAAACUAAAAAUUCCAACUAUACUAACUAACUAAAAUUUCUAACCUAAGGCCUUGUUUAGUUCACCCUGAAAACCAAAAAGUUUUUAAGAUUCCCCGUCACAUCGAAUCUUGUGGCACAUACAUGAAACAUUAAAUAUAAACGAAAACAAAAACUAAUUACACAGUUUAGCUGUAAAUCACGAGACGAAUCUUUUGAUCCUAGUUAGUCCAUGAUCGGAUAAUAUUUGUCACAAACAAAUGAAAGUGCUACAGUACCGAAACGUUUUCAGUUUUCGGAACUAAACAAGGCCUAACUAACUAACUAAACACCCUAAACCCUAUAUACUAAAUCAAAUGAACAGAGGGGCUUACCUGCUGCUCAGGGAGGGAGAUCGGGCCGGGCACCACCAGCGGCGGGGUGGAGCUUGGGCGGCCGGCUGCGGGCAGUGCUCGGGCGGGCGGCUGGCGGCGGCAUCGAGGCUCCGGCGAGCGGCGGGCGGCUGGCGCGCACGGGCGGCGGGCUGGGGGCGCGCGGGACGACGCAGCGCGCGCUGGGCGGCCUGGCGAGCGCAGGGCGGCGAGCGCGAGCAGCCGUGAGCGGGGCGGGCGCGAGCGCGGGCCGGCGAGCGACGUGCGGCGUGCGGCGGCGGCGGCAGCGGGCGAGCGGGCGCUGGGAAGUCAAAUGACCCCCAGCGCCCGCUCGGGCGUUUUAUUACGGUCGACCUCUUUGCCGAGGGUCUAGAUCCAGGGCCCUCGGCAAAGAGUUUCUUAUUUUUUUCUUAUUAAUUUCUUUGCCGAGGGCUUGACCUAGGGCCCUCGGCAAAGAUUAUUUUUAAAUUUUUUUCUUCCGAGUUAGUCUUUGCCGAGGGCCUUGAAUACGUGCCCUCGGCAAAGAUACUGGUGAUCACAUGUGAGAUGUUUGGGUUUUGUGCACCAGACGUUACCACAGACUCGGAAUUUUUUGAAAUUUUUAUCAUAGCAUCCACAUGUGAUAACAUGUUAUGUCACCAAGUUUCGUGAUUUUCUGAGUUUGUUUUCAUUUUAUAUAUUCAAAAAAACGAUUUCACGCAACUUGGUCCACAUGUUUCAGGGGGUAAACGUUCGAUAUUUCAUGUGGCUUUCUGCAUACGGUCUGGAAAUGCACUAACAAUCAUGAAUGUCAAGAUUGAAAUAAUUAAAUACUAUUAUUUAAUGCACCUGUAGUUUGAAUUUGAAAUUUGUCGAAAAAUUCAACAAAUUCAAAAAAUCCAAAAAAUAUACCAAAGUUAUUUCAAAAUGAACCAAACUUUGACAUGUACUUAAAAAUAGUGUAGGUGUGCCACAGAAAGAAAAAAACAUGGAUCCAAAAAAACAAAAAAAAUUUGCCGAGGGCCCACUCCAGACCCUCGGCAAAGAGGGAGUUGCCGAGAGCAGGCUGGCCGGCCCUCGGCAAAGUCUGACCUCCGGCAGUGCUUUGCCGAGGGCUUAACUACGGGCACUCGGCAAAGCCUAACGCCCAGAGCCGCCGUUACUCUGGGCCCACACCGCUGAGCGCCCCUUCUUUGCCGAGGGCCCGGCCCUCGGCAAAGAUGGGCCUUGACCGAGGGCGUUUCUCUGCCGAGGGCCCGGCCCUCGGCGAAGAAGCCUUUGCCGAAGGUCACUCUUUGCCGUGGGUUGGCCCUCGGCAAAGAUGGCCUUUGCCGAGUGCCCGAUAUCCGGCCCUCGGCAAAACAAAAAACCCUCGGCAGCGUUGCUGUUUCCAGUAGUGGAUAUCACAUGAGGGUGUUGCAUGGGUGUUCGGAUACUAAUAGGAAAACAAAUUACAGAAUCCGUCGGGAACCACGAGACGAAUUUAUUAAGCCUAAUUAAUCAGUCAUUAGCACAUAUAUUACUGUAGCAAUUAGUGUCUAAUUAUGGAUUAAUUAGGAUUAAAGAUUUGUCUCACAAAAUCUAAUUAAUCUGUGCCAUUAGUUUUUUAUUUUAUCUAUAUUUAAUACUUUUUGCAUGUGUCUAAAUAUUCGAUGUAAGAGCAUCUCCAACCAUUAUGCAUUCGAAGUUAUGUAUUUUCGGCAAAUUGCAAACCCCCAAAUGAAAAUGGCAAGGCUAAAAUCGGGUGAUCUCCAACCGUUAUGCAAAAUGCCAAGUCCAUCAUCUUUCUUUUUCUGGAAAUUUUGUUUCGCGGCACUCCUUCCCGCGCCGCCAAUCGAUCCCGCGCCGUCGUCUCCCGUUUACCAAUUCCCGUUGGCCAUCAGUUCGUCGUCGUACAGGUUCGCCCCUUGGCUCUAGUACCGAUCUCCAUCAGGUCCUUCGCCAGAAGGCGUACCUGGCCGCGCGAAGGGAAGAAAAAAGCCCGCGAGGUGGAACCGAGAAUCCCGUGAUCUCUAUUUGCAUAGCCGGACUCCUUUGGCAUAUAUGCCAAGUUUCCCCCUCCAAAUGCAUAGCUAUGUAAAAUGCAAAGUCCAAAUGCAUAACGAUUGGAGGGGUUUUUUUUGGAGUUUUAUGCAUUUUGGUAAAUGCCAAGUCCAUUUGCAUAAUGGUUGGAGUUGCUCUAAUAGGACGGGCGAAAAGGUUCUAGAUAAAAACUAAACAGGGCCACAGUCUGAUCUAUGAUAAGGGUAGCCCAGGUCAUUCCUGCCACAUUGGCUCCGACCCUGAUGCUCAAUAAAAAUUCCCCGGAAGCCAAAUACUGCCAUGAUAUAGCAUAGGAGAUAGCCAGAGAAAUUUGGAUAUUUGCCAUUGCAAACAAUGGGCUUCGCAAAAUUGCCAUUCAAAAGAGUGACUUUGAAAAGAUUGCCAUCCAAAAGAUAGCCAUAACUUUAAGAGUCAGAUAGAGACACCUCCUACUUGUGUUUUCAUUCCCCAUGAAGGCCUCCUCGCCGUACAUCUUCUUCGAAUCAAAAGUUCAAAACUAUGCGCAUGGCCCUCCAUAUUGACUUUGGAGGUCCCUCGACGCCACGGGUGAAGGUAUUAUGUGUAGGGGUGCAAAAGCACAACCACCCAAAAAAUUACAAAAAACAGUGAUUUUGAUUAAAAUUGUAUUAUAUAUGCACCAUAUAUUAGACUUAUCUAUGCAUCCAUACGACAAGUGAACCAUCCUCUAAUUUGCUCUAGCUUUGUCUACCGCACAAUGGAUGAAAAUAUCUGGUUGGCAGGACCCUAACAGACAAGAAAGACAGGAGCAACUCUGUAUGAAGCUUGCUGUCAUUUCAGCAGAAACUGCAUUGGAGGAGUUAAUCAGAUUCUAGAAAAAUGAAAUGGAAAACACAGAAAAUUGGUAUGCUGCCAUGCAUAUGCAGCUCUCUAACACGUCAUGUUGUGCUGCUCUCUACGGUCUAUAUGGGUUUGUUUAGUUGGGGAAAAUUUUUGAUUUUGGCUACUGUAGCACUUUCGUUUGUAUUUGAUAAUUAUUGUCCAGUCACUAACUAGACUCAAAUGAUCCGUCUUGCAAAUUAAAGAUAAAUUGUGUACUUAGUUAAUUUUUAAUCUAUAUUUAAUGCUCCAUACAUACGUCCAAAGAUUUGAUGUGACGGAAAACUAAACGAGGCCUUAACAACAAAAGUCACAAAAGGAAAUUCAUUGCGAUGCCUGGGAUAUGAUGCAUGUACAGUACGCUUCCAUGUAUCCUACACAGCUGCAGGGCUUAAUUCUUGAGGUGAUUAGAGGCUCCUCAUCUCCAACAGGCUAAACAUCUCCUUCCGCCGCAAUUUAGCGGGGAGAAACCUACAGGACUGGCACAGAAUUGUUGCUUCUCUACAGAAUGUGAAUUUACAAGAGGAAAGAGAUGUUUUCGUUUGGUCUUUACAUUCAUCAGGUAAUUUUUCAGUUAGCUCGAUGUAUGCCGCGUUAAUUAACAAUGGUGUCAGAGUGCCACAAGAUAUAUGACAGAUCAAAGUUCCUACAAAAGAGGUGUGAUUCUAACAAAAGAUAACCUAGCCCGUCGUAAUUGGAAUGGUGACACGAGAUGUAGCUUUUGCCAUUCUAUAGAAACUAUUCAUCACCUCUUUUUUGAUUGUUUUUAUGCCAAAUUUCUGUGGCGUGCAGUACAUUUAAUGUUUGGGAUAUCACCUCCUCUUAGCAUAGAGGAUUUAUUUGUUCAUUGGUCUAAGUUGGGUGAUAACUUGCACAAUUCUUUGUUAUUAACAGCAGCAUCGGCUUUAUGUUGGACAAUUUGGUUAACACGAAACGAGUGGUUUUUGACAAAAGUAGACCAAAAACUUUUUUGCAGGUACUCCUCCAGGGAACACAUUGGCUGCGCCAAUGGGCAAGACUGCAACGGCGUGAUGAUCAGCGGGACCAGCUCAUUCUUGUUGGACAUCAUCUUGAGUCGUCAGCCUUGCAUUUUUUAGCUCAAAUGGUUGGUUGUCAAAUAGGUUUAUUGGUCUCUCUUAGUCAAAUCUUUACUUCAUGUUUCUUUUUUUAUCUUUUCCAAAGUAAAUUGUGUAAACUUUGGAAAUAGUGCGCUGAACAGAUAUUCAAACUAUGUAAUAAUUUGUCUGAUUCUACUUGUUGGUAGAUGAAGCCGGAUAUAAACUAUCCUUUAUCUAAAAAAAAUCUCCAACAGGCUAAUUUGUAAUUUUAUGGUGCUCGGAAAUAAGAGCCCUCCAUUUCGUUGUUUAAAAAUAGAAAAACCCAGAUAGUCGAUAGAAAGAAGUUAAGUUAUGGGCCGAACAAAAAAAAAUACAUGGACCAAAACUGGUUUCUAAUUAAAUUAGGAAGUUAUAACAGUAUUUUAACUAAAUAAAAAAAAACUACUUCUCAUCUCCGCACGUGCGCUCUCUCUCUUUUAUCGUCUCCCGCACGUAUCAUCCAACCUAAUCAAGCUAGUUUAAUUAAUUACACUUGCAACUCAACUGAAAAAUCCAUGCCAAAAAUCUUCGCUGCCGAAUGAAUCAGUAAAUACAAACUGUAUAAGAAAAUGAGAGAACGAGAUAACCCUUCAGGGCUCUCGGUUGCUUGAUAUAUAGAGCCGGGAAUAACCCAACCGCCAUGGCAUACAAGAUAAGGUUUGUUACAACAUAAUCUCAACAAACUAACACACAAGCAACCAUUUACAAGACCUGAUACAACACGUCAACUAACUUACUGACUAACUAGGGAAGAUAUCAACUGAAUAUCUUUCACACUCCCCCUCAAUCUUAGCCACUGAAGAGGUUAAGAUUGGCACGAAAUUGGCGAAGCUGAGCAGCAGAAAUAGGCUUUGUAAAGCCAUCAGCAACUUGAUCAGCCGAAUUGAUGAAUCGAAUGUCAAGCACCUUGUUGGCAACGCGUUCACGAACAAAAUGAAAAUCAAUCUCAAUAUGCUUAGUCCGAGCAUGAAAGACAGGAUCCGCCGAGAGAUACUGGGCACCCAAAUUAUUGCACCAAAGACGCGCAACAACAGGAUGAGAAAUCUUCAACUCAGUCAACACUUUUUGAACCCAGAUCAUCUCAGUAGUAGCAUUAGCAAGGGCUUUAUAUUCUGCUUCAGUACUAGAGCGAGACACCGUGGCCUGUUUUCGAGCCAUCCAGGAGAUCAGAUUACUGCCGAGAAACACAGCAAAGCCACCUGUAGACCGACGAUCAUCCACACAUCCAGCCCAAUCGGCAUCCGGAAAAGCACUGACUAGUGUAGAAGAUGAACGUCUGAUCUGAUGGCCUACGGAGAUAGUGCCCCCGACAUAGCGAAGUAUCCUUUUGACCGCAGUCCAAUGCACCUUGGUCGGAGCGUGCAAAAAUUGGCACACCUUGUUGACUGCAAAGGCAAUAUCCGGCUGAGUUAACGUGAGAUAUUGAAGAGCACCAACCACACUUCGAUAAUUUGUAGAGUCUUCUGGUCCUAGGGGAUCACCAGCGUGUAGACUAAGUUUCUCUGACACACACAUGGGAGUGUCGACCGGUUUGGCCGUGGUCAACCCUGUUGGAGAUAGUAUAUCAGCAGCAUACCGACCCUGUGACAAGAGCAGUCCAUCUGGCUUGCGAGUAACCUCAAUACCCAAGAAGAAGUGAAGAUUACCCAGAUCCUUGAGAGCAAAGUCUUGCUGCAAAUCUCGAAGAAGAGCAUCAGUAGCUUGCUGUGAAGAACUUCCCACAAUAAUGUCGUCCACAUAGACAAGAACAAAUAUGACAACACCCCUACGACGAAAGUAGAACAGAGAUGUGUCAGCCAUGGAUGGAGAGAACCCUAGUGUUGUCAGCCUCUUGCACAACCGAGCAUACCAAGCUCGUGGAGCUUGCUUCAAGCCAUAGAUAGCCUUGUCCAACUUGCAUACAGAGGUAGGAUGAGCCUUAUCUGCGUACCCGGGAGGUUGCUGCAGGUAAACUUCCUCCUCCAAGAUACCAUGAAGAAAAGCAUUUUGCACAUCAAGCUGACGAAGAAACCAUCCAUUUGACACUGCUAUAGACAGCACAAGACUAAUAGUAGCAGCCUUAACCACGGGACUAAACGUCUCCUCAUAGUCAAUACCGUAUUGUUGUUUGAAUCCUUUUGCGACAAGACGCGCCUUGUACCGAUCAAUGGAGCCAUCUGCUUUCCUCUUAAUCUUAUAAACCCAUUUACAGCCCACAACAUUUUUUCCCUUAGGUCGAGGAACCAGAUGCCAAGUGUUGUUGCGGAGAAGGGCUUGAUGUUCAUGGUCCAUAGCAGCAACCCACUCUUUUCUUGCGAAGGCUUGAUUCAAAGACUGAGGUUCAGCACUUGACAUUGUAGAAUGCAUUCCCCAGCGCACUAUACCGUCACGGUACUGCUUAGGUUGGCGAAUACCAUGAGACAGGCGUGUCACCGGACGUUGGAGUGGUGCAAGCAUAGAGGAGACAGCAGCAGACUCAGGUGCAGAAGAUCCUGUGGCAAAAAUCUCCGUGGGUCUCGGGGACACGGCCGAGGCGGGAUCAGGCUGAGGCGUUGGCGACGGCUGAAGAACUCCGUGCGGAUGCAGGCUUGGCGCAGAAGACCCGAAGGUGAACUCCUCCACUGCAGGCAGCGUGGACGGCGACAGAAUUGGAUCUGGCACCGAUCCCGAAGACGGAGCACCAUCAGACCCUGCACCUGCUGCAGUAGGAUCCUCCUUGGGUGCUGAGCUGCUUCCCAACGGGGAGCACAUGAAAUGACGAGGUGCUCCACCCGCCGGAACUGCGCCGUUUUGUGCCGAAUCAACAUCACUUGAGCCUGCAUUACUUCCUAGCACAUCUUGGACAUCAACAGCACUGGAUACACCAUUAGUACCAUUAGGAGAAAGCAAAUCAUGACCAUGCAAAUUUCGUUCCCCAACACGCGAUGAUAGAGGGCCUAGGAUGUCCGAGAGGAGUUCAAGCUCUUUCCUGAGGAGAGCACCGGCAUUGGGAUGCAAGGAGGCAAAAGGAAACACAUGCUCGUCAAAGACUACAUCCCGAGAAAUAUAAACUCGCCCAACUUUGGGAUCAAGACAUUUGUAUCCCUUAUGCAACAUGUUGUACCCGAUGAACACACACUGUUUUGAUCUAAACUCUAACUUCCUAGAGUUGUAAGGGCGGAGGUUCGGCCAGACAGCACAGCCAAAAACACGGAGAAAGGUAUAGUCAGGAUGUGUACCAUGCAAGCGCUCAAAAGGAGACACAUGACCUGUAACUUUGGAUGGAAGCCGGUUGAUGAGAAAAGUGGCGGCUGCAAAGGCUUCAUCCCAGAAUUUGAGCGGCAUAGAGGCAUGUGCAAGAAGAGUAAUGCCCAUCUCGACAAUGUGUCGAUGCUUACGUUCAGCAGAGCCAUUUUGCUAAUGGGCAUGAGGACAGGAAACGUGAUGCGCAAUGCCUAUGCGUUUAAAGAAGUUCAAUGCUUGAUACUCACCGCCCCAAUCAGAUUGUACAACCUUGAUUUUCCUCCCAUACUGGCUUUCAACAAGAGAUUGAAAUUCAUAAAAUAUAUGAAACACUUCAGAUUUUUGGCAUAGCAUGUAGACCCAAGUGAAUUUGCUAUAGUCAUCGGUAAAGGAAAUAUAGUAUUUGUAACGUCCAAUAGAAGAAGGGGCAGGACCCAGACAUCAGAAAAAAUAAGGUCCAUAGGACCAUCGGACACACUGAUAGACACAGGAUAUGGCAAUUGAUGACUCUUGCCACAUUGACAAGCAUCACAGACACUAUCAUUAUUGGACUCAGGUAACACUGGUAGACUAUAGCGACUAACAACUUGUUGAACGACACGAGAAGAAGCAUGGCCUAGACGAUGAUGCACACGGACGAUGAUGGCUUGGUGGCACCGAGAGCUUGUUUAUCUGGUGGAGAGGAACAAGAUGACGCUCGCAGCGGGUACAAGCCUCCUUCACAUCUACUGCUGUGAAGAAUUUUCUUCGUCCCCUGUUCCUUAAUAAGAAAACGAUCGGGAUGAAAUUCAAGGAAGACGUUAUUGUCUUUAGUAAGGCGAUUAACGGAGCAAAGAUUUUUAGCAGCUUGAGGAACAUGAAGAAUGUUUUUAAGGUGUAGAUCGUGUGUGGGAGAAGGAAAAAUGCUAUGACCAAUAUUUGCAAUCUCCAUACCUUGGCCAUCAGCGGCAUGAACCUGAUCACCGCCGUGGUACUUGUUGCGCAUGGCCAUCAUCUCAAGCUCGCCCGUGAUGUGAUCCGUUGCACCAGAAUCCACAUACCAGUUCGUAUCCACCCCAUACGAACCAGAGCUUGCCGAGGACGCGCUCUUCUGCGGUGGUCCUUGAAAAUUGCUGUUGUACUGCUUGAAACAUCGAUACGCAGGGUGGCCCUCCUUGCCACAGAUCUGGCAGAUGACGCCUGUCUGAAAAUUGCGGCCGUGACCGCUGUUGCCGUUGUUGUUGCCUCCACGACCACGGUUGGUGUUGCCACCACCGCGACUGAAAGAACCGCGGCCACCCCCUUGAUUGCGAGGGUUGUUGAAGGAGCCCAUCCGGCCUCCCUUGGCAGCAACGUCUGCAGAUAGUUGAGCCCCAUCAUUGCUGAGGCCCUUGCGCUGCUCAUGGCUGAUGAGUUGUGCAUAAAUAAAGUUCAGGAACCGUGAUCAGUUCCACCCUUGUCGCAAUCGCCGUCACGACUGACUCAAAAUCCUCACCAAGACCGGUAAGAAUAUAAGUGACGAGGUCUUCAUCUUCUAACUUCUUCCCUGCCGAAGCCAUAUCAUCGGCAAGUCCCUUCAUCUUGGUGAAGUAGUCAGCCACGGAUGACAUCCCCUUAGACGCUGUGGCCAGAGCCAUGCAGGUGGAGAUAAUGCGAGCACGGGACUGGGAGGCAUGAUGAGCCUGGAUUGCCGCCCACAGUUCCGCCGCGCUCGUGGCCGUAGAAACUUGGGCGAAGAUUUCCUUCGAUAGUGAGCCGAAGAGAUAGCUAAGGACCUGUUGGUCCUGAGCCACCCACUUAUCAUAAGCAGGAUUUGGCACCGGAGGACCCUUCUUGCCGGUUGCAGCCUCGAGCUCCCCUUUAAGAUAUGCUUCCGGAGGAGCAGCCCCCGGCUUGAUGUAGCCAGCGAACUACGCCCCUUUGAGGGUGGACGAGACCUGGGCAUACCACAUAUUGUAGUUGCCCCAAGUCAGCUUCUCGGUAACUAGUGGCAGGAAGCCGAAGGAGAGGGGAUUGAACCUAGCGAUGCCGGUGGAGCUGGAAGACAUGGCGGAGGAUUGGAUCUACCCGGUGGGGAAAAAAAGCUCGAUACCAUAUAAGAAAAUGAGAGAAAGAGAUAACUGUGGGGGUAUAGACCCCUAUACCCUUACGGCUAGACUUGGGCCAGGAGGCUUGGCCCAUUACGAGACAAGUUUGAAGCUUGAUCCGACAGCUUGGAGUUUCGCACAAGGAAGCAAGAUGUGGAGAUCAAGCAGGAUUCUAGUCGGUUAAAAUAGGAAUUGAUAUCGAACUAUCUAUGGCAAUUGUAACCGACUAGGAUUAGUUUCUAGAUCUGUAACCCUGCCCUCCGGACUAUAUAAGGAGAGGCAAGGGACCCCCCUAGGACAUCAUUAUUCUCUCAACACAAAUCAAUACAACCAGACGCAGGACGUAGGUAUUACGCCAGCUCGGUGGCCGAACCUGGAUAAAAAGCUUGUCCGUGUCUUGCGUCACCAUCGAGUUCGUAGUUUGCACACCGUCCACCGAUAAACUACUACCGUGGGUAUACCCCAAGGUAGACUGCCGACCAGCUUUCGUCGACAGUGGCGCGCCAGGUAGGGGGUGCGCAUACAACUUCUCCGGCGAACAAGAUGGUCAUCAUUCCAGCUUCUGCGGCCGUGCCUGAAGGCCUCACGUUCACCGUCGGCCAGAUCACGUGGACGACGCACGGCGGCGGCCCCACGACCAUGGUUUCGGAAGGAACCCAGAUCCAAUCUGGGAUGACGGCGGCAUCGGCUCCGACCACGCAGAUGCUGGCACCGAGCACCCGACCACCGCUUCCGCGCUAUAAGGGAAAGAAGAUUGAUGGCUCGGAUCUUCUCCGAGCCCUUGAUCGCGCUGAUUUCAAGCUUCUCGAAGCUUCCCGACUAGUAGAUGGGAUCUCACGCCAGCCUGAUCAAGCCGCACCAACGGAUUUUUUCAACUCCUACCGGCCAACUCGUGUCGUCACACACGAACGGCUGGGAACGUCUCUGACGAUAACCUCCACCCCCUCAGGACGGUCCGUCAAGCUCGAGGCUGAUCCGGAGGAAGGUUAUCCUUGCGGUCUGAAUAACUCGGCCUCUCUAUACUCGCGGCACAUCCAAUCCCUUUUUAACGAGGCUGGUUGGUUGCCAAAGUGGAGCGGUCGACCAGCUCGUCACUACGUCAACAUGGUGACGAUCCGAGAACUACAGGACGGCCAGGCCUCCAGCACAAAUUCGAGCACUGGUUCCGUUCCCACUGAAGUCAUAAACUCCGAGGACGAGGACUACGACCUGGAUUUGCCACCAUAUCCUCCGGGUUUCUCUCGUUUCCCGGUCUUCCCACCCCGACGAGGAGACAUCGUUUUCAACGUCAGUGCCGACGAGCCGGUUGUUGAUGGAGAAACAGACGAGCAGAGGCAGCUCCGCGAGCAGCGCAAUGCCGACCGUGCCCGACGACGCGCGGACGAGGAACGCCAACUCCCACCGCAUAAUCUCACCGUCGCUUUCGACAUGGUCGGGGAUCAGCCAGUCUACAAAACGCCAAGCGCCAAUGUGGCUGUCGCCAUGGCCAAUUUAGAUCGACUCCCUGAUACUCCCGAAUGCCAGGGCGUCCGAUCCAGCGUUCGAGCACAUCUGAUCGCCGCGAUGGGACAGACAGCCACUCUGCUCAAAAGAGUCCAAGCUAUCUCCUAUAUAGAGGUCUCCUCCGACCAGACCCAUCGCAGCCGGACCUCACCACAGCCCAGCAGGCACCACCGUAGCCGUUCCCCCAACAAUCAUCGAAAAAAUUCACGGCGCGACGACGGCGGUCGGGAUGGUGGCGGUCACCGCGAGCAGAAUCGCGGGCGUGGUCAAGAAGUAAACCAGCACAGGGAUCUUCGAUACAACAUCCCUCCCAAAGACGCCCGGGACCGCAUCAACAGGCGCGCCACGGAGAGAGCAGUUCACGAAAACCUGCGUCGUAUUGAGUACGAUGCAACGCACGGCCCCCUGGGCCUGAGACAGUUCUCCUCACACCUCCGCCAAGUCAUGUGGCCUCGCAAUUUCAAGCUCGAGAAACUCAAAAAAUACGACGGCAAGGAAAACCCAGAAAACUGGAUCACUCUAUACGAGAUCCCCGUCCGGUCAGCAGCAGGAGAUGAGCACGUCAUAGCCAACUACUUCCCGGUCGUCUUCGACCAGGCCGGUCACCAAUGGCUCCUAGGCCUGCUCGAGGACUCUUUCGACUCCUGGGUAGAAUUACGCCAAGCAUUCAUCGACAAUUUUAUCGCUACCUGCGAACAACCCGGGAACAAAUACGACCUUGAAAGGAUACGGGACAGGAAUAACGAGCCACUGCGUGACUACAUCCGACGGUUCUCGGAUAUGCGCCUUAAGAUCCCGAAAAUUUCCCAUGACGAGGCCAUAUCUGCUUUCAUAAAAGGGCUGCGCUUCCACGAAGCAUUGAGGAACAAGCUACUGCGCAAAAGGCAAACAACGAUGGCCGAGCUCCUCGCCACGGCUAAAAACUACGCCAACGCCGACGAUGCAGAAAAACUCAUCCGGGAUGAUGCGAGAGGACCCGACCAGCCUCCUUGACGAGACGACAGUCGUGGUCACUUCGACAACAGGAACCAUCGUCGCCCCGACAACCGCGAUCACAGGGAAGUUUGGUGACGCGACAAUCGCGACGACUUCAGAGGAAAGCGCCCCCGCGACCACGACCACGAGGUGAAUAUAGUCAAGCGCCCCAACGGGCGGCGGGAUUACCAAGAAGACUACAACAAAACGUUGAAGGGACCAUGCCAACUGCAUCCAAAGUCCAACCACACCAUGGAAGAAUGCCGCGUCCACAAAAGCAUCUAUACGCGGCGGGCUGCUCAUGAUGACCCCGCCAAGAAAAACGGGAAACAAGAUGGGCGCGCUCACGAAGACGAGGACGAAGACCAGGAUAGGGACCCACGACACCAGUAUGUUAGUCCCACUGACGUGGUCCACUCCAUCUUCGAGGGAAAGGUUUCCAUCGAGUCUAAACGAGAAAGAAAGCACUUAAAGAGAGCCUGCCUCAACAUAGACAGCACGGAUGGCUUGAUCGCCGAUCCGAAAUUUCCUCCCUGGUCCCACAGGGAAAUCUCCUUCAGCAGGAAGGAUCAGUGGGUCGCUAUCCCGGAGCCAGGUCGUUUCCCUCUAAUCUUGGACCCUUGCAUCAACAGCAUCAGAUUCGAGCGCGUGCUCGUGGACGGAGGAAGUUCCAUCGACAUCCUCUUUCGCAACAGCUUGCCCGCCCUCAAGAUAUCUCCGGCACAGCUAAAACCCUACGACGCUCAAUUUUGGGGAGUCUUGCCAGGUCAGAGUUCAGUGCCCCUUGGACAAAUAACACUACCUGUCCAAUUCGGCACGUCCGACCACUUUCGAACAGAGUUCGUCAACUUUGUGGUCGCCGACUUCGAUGGGACUUACCACGCUAUACUGGGGCGACCAUCGCUGACAAAGUUCAUGGCAGUCCCACAUUACUCAUACCUGGUCCUCAAAAUGCCUACAGAGAAGGGCGUCCUGACCUUCAGGGGCAAUGUCUACACCGCAUAUACUUGCGAGGAGGAGAGCUUCAAGAUCACUGAAGCAAUCGAUCUUUCAAUUCGCAUGGCAGAAACAGCAGCCCAAGCGGCACAGCUCCCUCACGACCAGCUCCGACUACCCGAGCAGGAGACCGCCAGGAAGAAUUCAAAAUCCAAGGAGUACAAGGAAGUACAGCUGGUUGAAGACAGCCCCGAGAAGAUGGCCCUCAUCGGGGCCAACCUGGAUCCCAAAUAGGAAGACGCGCUCGUCAGGUUUCUAAGGGACAACGUGAGAGUUUUCGCAUGGAAACCCGCAGACAUGCCCGGUGUCCCACGAAACCUGAUCGAGCACUCUUAAAUGUCUCGAAGACCGCAAGACCCAUCAAGCAAAAGCUGCGACGAUUCGCUCGUGACAAAAAGGAGGCUAUUAGGAUAGAAAUAACACGGCUUCUAGCAGCCGGAUUCAUAAAAGAAGUGUAUCAUCCCGAUUGGCUUGCCAAUCCGGUUCUUGUACGCAAAAAGAAUAAUGAAUGGAGAAUGUGCGUUGAUUACACUGACCUCAAUAAACACUGUCCUAAAGUUCCUUUUGGUCUCCCUCGCAUCGACGAGGUGGUCGACUCAACGGCCGGAUGCGAACUCCUCUCUUUUCUAGACUGCUACUCUGGUUAUCACCAGAUCUCGCUAAAGGAAGAUGAUCAGAUCAAAACAUCUUUCAUCACUCGUUUCGGCGCAUACUGCUACACGACCAUGUCCUUCGGACUCAAAAACGCCGGAGCCACCUAUCAACGGGCCAUCCAGCAAUGCCUCCACGACGAGAUUCAUGAUGACCUCGUCGAGGCUUAUGUAGACGACGUCGUCGUCAAAACAAGGGACGCAAGCACCCUAAUCGACAACUUAGACCGAACCUUUAAGGCGCUAAACAAGUACAAGUGGAAGCUUAACCCCAAAAAGUGCAUCUUUGGUGUCCCUUCCGGUCUACUACUCGGCAACGUCGUCAGCCGCGACGGCAUACGACCGAAUCCUUCAAAGGUAAAAGCAGUACUUGACAUGCGACCACCUAAGAAUGUCAAGGAUAUUCAGAAGCUCAAAGGAUGUAUGGCCGCUCUCAGCCGCUUCAUCUCAAGACUAGGAGAAAAAGGCCUCCCUUUCUUCAAACUCUUGAAGGCGUCGGAAAAAUUCUCCUAGACAGAAGAGGCUGACGCUGCGUUCACCCAGCUUAAGACCUUCCUCACCUCACCGCCUGUUCUCACAGCACCUCAACCCAAUGAAGACCUACUUCUUUACAUUGCGGCAACCGACAGGGUUGUCUCCACGGCAAUAGUGGUCGAGCGAGACGAGCCAAGUCACAUCUACAAGGUCCAGAGACCCGUUUAUUUCAUAAGCGAAGUCUUAAACGAGUCCAAGGCCAGAUAUCCACAAAUACAGAAGCUCAUAUACGCCAUUCUUAUAACAUCGAGGAAGCUAAAGCACUACUUCGACCGCCAUCGAGUCUUGGUAACCACCAGUUUCCCUCUUGGGGAUAUUCUGCGCAAUAAAGACGCCAACGGCAGAAUUUUAAAAUGGGCAAUGGAGUUAUGCCCAUUCUCCCUGGAUUUCCAGAGCCGCACAACAGUGAAGUCUCAGGCCCUGGUCGAUUUCAUCGCAGAGUGGACGGACCUCAAUGAGCCUCCCGUUUUCGAUAUCUCCGACCACUGGUCAAUGUUCUUCGACGGGUCCUUGAACAUCAACAGUGCCGGCGCUGGGAUACUUUUCGUGUCGCCUAACAAGGACAAACUGCGUUACGUCCUUAGGAUCCUUUUUCUGGCAUCAAACAACGUCGCCGAGUACGAAGCAUGCCUGCACGACAUACGACUAGCCGUUGAGUUGGGAGUCAAACGCCUCUACGUCUAUGGCGACACCGCCUUAGUUAUCAACUAGCUCAACAAGGAAUGGGACGCAACCCACCAGAAGAUGGAUCUCUACUGCAAAGAAAUCCGCAAAUGGGAAUCCAACUUCUAUGGCAUAGAGUACACUCACGUGGUCCGGGAUAAAAACCAGGCAGUGGAUGUGCUGUCAAAGUUAGGGUCAUCUCGGGCCCAGAUCCCGCGAGGUGUCUUCGUCCAGGACAUCCAUGAGCCAAGUGUGGGCACAGACCUGGUCGAAAAGCAACCUAUUGAGGCAAUGCUCAUAGACGACGUUACUCCGACAACCAGCAACCGUGAUUGGCGCACCCCGUUCAUCAGAUAUAUAUCGGAUGGGUCAGGCUUUCAGGAUAAAAUGGAGAACGAGCGCCUCAUUCGACGAUCAAAGAAUUACAUACUAGUGGACGGCAAACUCAUGCAAAAAAAUGCAAGUUCUGAAGUGCUGCUCAAAUGCAUAUCCCAGGAUGAUGGCAUCAAGCUCCUAGACGACAUACACGCCGGAUCCUGCGGCAACCAUGCUGGUCGGAAAGGCUUUUCGAGCAGGUUUUUACUGGCCAACCGCGGUCACCGACGCAGAAAAACUGGUCCGACAUUGUGAAGGAUGCCAGUUCUUCGCCAAAAGGACCCACGUACCUGCUCAUGAGAUUCAAACUAUCCCGUCAUCCUGGCCUUUCGUCUGCUGGGGUCUCGACAUGAUCGGGCCAUUUAAACCGGCCCCCGGCAACUUUAAGUUUGUCUUCGUAUUAAUUGACAAAUUCUCAAAGUGGAUCGAAUACAUGCCAUUGGUCAAAGCAACCUCUGAUAAAGCUGUGGAAUUCCUCAAUCAAAUCAUACACAGAUUCGGGAUCCCCAACAAUAUAAUCACCGACUUGGGCACUUAGUUCACUGGCACUACGUUUUGGGACUUCUGCGAUGACAGAGGCAUAGUGAUAAAAUACAUGUCAGUAGCCCACCCACGGGCAAACGGUCAAGUGGAGCACGCCAAUGGCAUGAUCAUCGAUGCCCUAAAGAAAAGAUUGUACACCGAGAACGACAGAGCACCUGGUCGAUGGAUGAAAGAGCUACCGGCUGUGGUAUGGGGUCUCCGAACACAGGCUAGUCGGAACACGGGGGUGUCACCCUACUUCAUGGUUUAUGGCACCGAGGCAGUGCUGCCGUCUGAUAUAGCCUUCGGGUCUCCAAGCGUUGAAAACUUUGACGAGUCAACGGCCGACAACGCCAGGGAGCUCGAAAUCAACUGCAUGGAGGAAAAGCGUCUAAAUUCAUGUCUUCGAACAUCAAAGUAUCUUGCAGCCAUCAGACGGUACCACAACAGGAACGUCAAGGACCAUUCUUUCCUGGUCGGCGAUCUGGUACUUAGGUGGAAAACAAGCCAGGAAGGAAUGCACAAGCUAUCCACCCCCUGGGAGGGACCCUUUGUGGUCGCCGAAGUCACACGUCCUAUAUCCUACAGAUUGGCGUAUCCAGACGGAACACGCGUGCCUAAUUCUUGGCACAUAGACAAACUGCGCCGUUUUUAUCCAUAAGUUCCAGUACCUUUUUGCUUGUAAGUUUCUUAUAAUUGGCAAUAAUAAAAGUUUUCCUUUUUCGCUAUACAUUGUUUACACGCAGAGCUUUCGACAAGCAUAGCAAUAUUCCUCUACGACGGAGAUCCUUAACGACUAUCAGUCAAACACAGUGAUACAUCACUCAGAUAACUUUACAGCGCUCAAAAUCAUGGUCAUGACAAAAUCAAACUUUAUUACAAACUUUACAUAUAGAGUUUACAAUAAACACCCUGACGGGCGGUUACUAGUCUACUCCUACAGACUAUCCUACUGGCCUACUGCUCGAGCUGAUCACCCGCCUGGCCUUGCUGCCCAGACGAAGGGGUCGGGGCCACCGGCGCCUGGCUGGUCGAGACCGCAGGCGUCGACCGCCCAUCUCCGGCAAUAGACGCCCCCGAUAACUCCCUGGCCGACCUGUCUGACCCCGGCUGGUCGGGGGGCGUGGCCGUCCCGCAUAGAUUGAUGUCGCCGAUCACCGCUGACGACAAGUCUAGCAGGCCAGCUCGAAGGUCGUCCGCCUCCUGCGGGCCGACUUCCCUGGGGUACCCCCUCUCCAGCCUGGACAAGUCGACCAGGGGAUAAUGGGCGCGCACCAUGCUGAGGACAUGAGCGCCGCCGAACUCCCCGGCGUCCUUAACGAACUGCUGGAGCCAAUCCCACGCCCGUUGCGCCUUCUCGACUGGCGUCAGCUUCGGCGCGCGGCGCUGGUCUUCCGGAAGCUCGGGGCUAAUCAAGUCUAGGACCGGGGCCACUCCUUUCCAAAGCCUAAUACAGUUAGUCUUCCAGGAGUCCCGAUCCUUGACCAACUCAUCUAAGUGCUUCUUGGUAUUUACCUUGAGCACUACAAACCAAGCAGGAGGUCAGUUUAAUAACAAUGAAAGGAACGUCGAGCAGCCAAAUAAAGGAGGGCGGCACGGUUAUUACCAGACAAUUCCCGAUUCCUCUGGCCUAGCUCCUCGCCUGCUCGGCGCCCAGCCUAUAGCGCCCCGGCAAGCUCUUGACCAAGCUGCUCCUUCUCUUGCCGAAGGCGCGCGACCUCCUCCUCUAAGUCUACAUGAACAAUCCCCUGGUCAACAAAACCAACCACGCGGCUACAUACAGCUGCUCGGAGCAUGCGACUGACCUGUCCGCUGCCGAUACUGGUCGGCUAAACGCCGAGUGAGCUCGAGACGAUGCUCUUCCUGGGCGCUCAUCUCGGCCACCUUCUCCCCAACCUCCGACCGUAGCCGGUCCACCUCCGCGGACAGGGCCUUGUUCUCGGCCACAAUACCCUCUAUUUGGUCGAAGCACCUCUUCCGGUACUUUGCCGUUUUCAUUGCGCCCUGCAAGAAGAACAUAUGUCGACCCAGCAAGAUAGCACAAAAGUGUCGAGCAGUGCAAAGGACCACUUACCUUAACUUCGUCCACGAGGCGCUUGGCCGCGCGCUCCACCCUCGCGGCCUCUUCCGUCUCCGCGAGCUCCUCGUGCCCGAUGAAGUGGUCCCCGCGUUGGCGCCACACAUAUACGUGUUGGCGGCCAUCACGGGGACGACCUUCAAUUUCCUCCACGUCGUCAUCAGAGGCCGCCUGGGUUUCCUCGUUCUCUGCACUGCCACCGGCUGUGGUCGCAGGCAUCACUGGCCCCUGGACCAGGCCCGGGGAGCCUACGGACGAAGAGGCUCCUGCCCGGGGUGGCGUUGGGACCCCCCUCUCUUCGGCGGGGGCAGGGGUCGGGACUCUGUCUUCCCCUUCCGCGACGCUACUCGGGGGAGGGGUCCUCGUAGCCUCCUCAUCCCUGGUCGGGCUGCUCACCGCGGUCCUCGCUGAGGCCGGAAGCUCCUCGGCGCUCUCAGCCACGGUUGCCGCCGCGGGCUGCUCCGUGGUCUACGGCGCGGUAUCCUCAGCGCCAGCGGCAGGUCCGGCCACUCUCUGGCCGGCAACGUGGUCAGGAUCGACGUCCGACGCCGUGCUAACAAUAAAACGACAUUUAAACAGUGUCAAAAUGCAGCAAUAAAAUGCAAAAAAUCACAGCACCAAAGUAAGAAUGCAAACUUACAGGUCAGAGCGCCGGUGCGUUGCGGUGAACCGCCUCCUGACUCUACCGGUCGGUGCCUGCGCACCCGUCUCCACGACGUGCGUCGGCUCGACGUGCGGAGCAGGCGGGUCACUGGUCACCCGACCAGUGGUGGCCGGCGCAACAUCCGGACAACUAUGAGGCCUCCGGACCAACGACGGCGCAGCCUCCUCCUCCUCGUCGUCGUCUUCGGCGAUCCAGACGAGCCGACGGCGUUUUGGCGCCUGGCUGCUCUCUGCUGGCAGCGUUGGCGCAGGGGAAGGGUCUGCUGCUAAUGGCCUUUUCCCCGCCACUCUGUCCUCUGUGGUCGGGGCGGGGUGGGCCUGCUCCUCCUCACUGCUGGUGUACCGAGCACACCGAGCAGCGUCGUCCUCCGGCGGAUCUUCCCCCGCGGGAUUCUCCAUCCCAGGUGCCAGUGAUACGUACACUGUGCACCGGUCAACGUCUCCGAUCUGCAACCGUAACAAAGACAAGUCAGCAGCUGGAAAGAACAAGAACUAAGGAGGUACAAUCAGUAAGUAACGUUACCUUAGGAGCUGGUCGCCCCAGCUUGAAGGCCUGCACCCGAUCACUACCACGAAUGAAGCUCCUGUCCGUAAAGUUGAACAGCUCGUUCAACAGCUGCUGCACUUCCGCCUUCUCCAAGACCUCAGGCCUCAUCCUGGUCGGGUCUUGGUUUCCAGCGUACUCGUACGCCGAGUGCACCCUCUUCUGGCAGGGCAUCACCCGACGACAAAUGAAGUUGCCGACCACUCCUAGCCCGUCCAAACGCGACCAGUCGAUCAGCUUCAUCAGGUCCGCUACUUGGCCGUCGAACUCUGGGCGGUCGGUCCAACUGACCCUCUUCUAGGGGAUGUACCCCACGUCGUAGAACGUGGAGCUGCCCGGCUCUUCCCUGACAUAGAACCACUUCCUGUACCAUUCGGUAAGAGAAGUGUUCCAUGGGCAGCUUAGAUACCGGUUCUUCAUCCCGUCACGAAGAUUGAGGUAUACUCCACCUGCAAUCUUGGAGCCUCCAACCCCCCCCUUUUUCCUCAAACAGAAAAGAUAACAGAACAGAUCGAAGUGCGGCUCUAUUCCAACAUAGGCCUCGCACAGAUGAAUGAAAGUGGAAAUGAGAAGGAUUGAGUUCGGGUGCAGAUUGCAGAUCCUGAUCUCAUAGUACAAGAGAAGCCCCUGGAGAAAAGGAUGGACAGGAACCCCAAAACCCCUCUUGCAAAAAUCUUCGAACACUACAAUCUCACCGGCACGAGGGUUGGGAUAGCUCUCCCCCUCUGGCGCCCUCCAGCCGCCGAGCUCUGGGCUGUGCAGUAGCCCCAUGUCGACGAGGUCAUUGAGGGACUUCACACUGCUUCGGGACCUUUUCCAUUCCUUGGCCAUCAGCUCGGCCCUCUUCUUGGAGUCGCUCUUCGCCAUUGAUGAUUACAGGAGUGACUACGAGCUGGGUUGCAGGUGGUUGUAGAAGGCAAGAGCGGAAAGCUUGAAGGCGAUGGCAGAGUAAGCAAUGUGGGGGUACUGUCAGGCUUUUAUAAACCACAACCCCACCCCUCCCACUUCCCGCAUUCUUGGGAAGUGGGCGGGCCCAGCGGCGGACGCGGCGCUUCGGUUUUCAAUAAUUAUCGGCAGUUAAUGCGGUGGCCUUUUCCUAUAAUUGAUGUUUUCCUUUUCUCAAACCGCGCAAAGGGUGGCUGCGCAGUUACCAUGCGCAACUUUUCACGCAACCACCUGACAAUACGUCAGGAGGUCUCGUCACGUCAAUCAUUUACGUGGUAAGAUGUUUUCUUCAAAAUAACAGACAAAAAUUGGUGGAGGGUCAACAUUCCUGGGGACUGUGCCGACCACCGAGCACUAUAUGCGAAGUGGACUGGUCGCCCAGUCUGUCAAUUUAGGGACUGCACCGACCACCGAGCACUGAAUUCUCGGGGACUGGUCGCCCAGUCUGCCAUCUCGGUAAUCUGGGGACUGCACCGACCACCGAGUACUGUAUGCUCGGGGACUGGUCGCCCAGUCUGUCAGCUCGGGAAUCUGGGGGCCGUACCGACCACCAAGCACUGUACGCUCGGGGACUGGUCGAUCAGCCCGCCAGAUUGAUAAGUCUAUCCGAUAGUAAACGAGUAUGAGAUGCUCGGGGACUGGAUAAUUUUAAUUUUUUAGACUUUGCUACAAGGUUCAUACUUCGCCUUCCAGCAAGCUCGGGGACUACAUCGGUACGAUGCAUCUGGCGAUGCAUCUCAGUUUCAAAAUCUCUUUGAGGAAUUUUCUUUUGACCCUGGCACCACGUGCCUACGUGACCUACUGCCAGCCUCGGGGACUAAGUGGGCACACUUCACCUUGCGGUGAAUAUGCUAGCUUUCUGAAAGGCUAUACUUUUCAAAAAAGUAAAGUGGGCACACUUCACCAGGAAAGAAAUCUUUUUUGAUUAAGAGCACCAUGCAUUCUUCGAACAACCUACUUCUUCGAUGCCAGUUUUGGUCAACUAUCUUUGAAGUUGGUCAGAAUGUCAUUACAGCUGUUUAGGCAGCUUUUCUACUUAUUGAAGAUGUCAAGUUUCACUGAUCGAAGAAGCUCAAGACGGCGUAUUACUUCACAAUACAUGGUGCUCGAGGACUAACUGUGGGGGUAUAGACCCCUAUACCCUUACGGCUAGACUUAGGCCAGGAGGCUUGGCCCAUUACGAGACAAGUUUGAAGCUUGAUCCGACAGCUUAGAGUUUCGCACAAGGAAGCAAGAUGUGGAGAUCAAGCAGGAUUCUAGUCGGUUAAAAUAGAAAUUGUUAUCGAACUAUCUAUGGCAAUUGUAACCGACUAGGAUUAGUUUCUAGAUCUGUAACCCUGCCCUCCGGACUAUAUAAGGAGAGGCAAGGGACCCUCCUAGGACAUCAUUAUUCUCUCAACACAAAUCAAUACAACCAGACGCAGGACGUAGGUAUUACGCCAGCUCGGCGGGCCGAACCUGGAUAAAAAGCUUGUCCGUGUCUUGCGUCACCAUCGAGUUCGUAGUUUGCGCACCGUCCACCGAUAAACUACUACCGUGGGUAUAUCCCAAGGUAGACUGCCGACCAGCUUUCGUCGACAAUAACCCUUCAGGGCUCUCGGUUGCUUGUUAUAUAGAGCCGGGAAUAGCCCAACUGGCAUGGCAUACAAGAUAAGGUUUGUUACAACAGAAUCUCAACAAACUAACACACAAGCAACCAUGUACAAGACCUGAUACAACACGUCAACUAACUUACUGACUAACUAGGGAAGAUAUCAACCGAAUAUCUUUAACAAACUGUGGUAAGGAUUAAGGAAUGGCAAGCUUUGGAGCCCAGCAGCCCACCUAAUUAAGGUACUAGCACUAGCAGUGCGGGUUCGAGCUGACGAGCGGGAAAUCCUGCGGCAUAUAGGCCUUGUUUAGUUACCAAUAAAUUUUGCAAAAUUUUUCAGAUUUUCCGUCACAUCGAAUCUUUAGACGCAUGCAUAUAGUAUUAAAUAUAGACAAAAAUAAAAACUAGUUGCACAGUUUGGUCGGAAUUGACGAGACGAAUCUUUUAAGCCUAGUUAGUCCAUGAUUAGAUAAUAUUUGUCAAAUAUAAACGAAAGUGCUAUAGUGUUGAUUUCCCAAAAAUUUUUGGAACUAAACAAUGCCUAUCUAGCGGCGUAGGUGAAUGUUAUGGCGGCGACGCAGCAAAAGCGACCUUCUCGGCGGAUUUCAGAGCUUCCGGUUCAUGAAUAAGGAUUCAGGUAACUGUAUGUUAGGAAGAAGAGAAAAAUACGAAACUACCCUAAGAAUGUUUAAUUACAUUUUUUCAGAUCAACAGCUGUCAAUUUUUUUUAGCGGCAUCUGAGGGAGCCUUUCGCCACGUAGGCUGAGGCCAGCAGUCGAAGACGGGCGUGAGCGUGCCGCUGGCUCCAGAACGGAGGGGAUGGCGUUGCUGCCGAUUGGACAUACCCCGUGGGAAUGCCGUUGCUGCCGAUUGGACAAACCCCGCACUAAGGAUGGCAGCGGGACAGUUUCAUGUCGGAUAUCCGCAGGUUUUGGUUCUCGUGGGUUCGGCGGGACAGUUUCAUGUCGGAUAUCCGUAGGUUUUGGUUCUCGCGGGUUCGGAUUUGAGGAUGAUUUUUCAUUCAUGGUUUUCGGGUUCGGUUUCGGGUUUGGUUCCACUCGUAGAUAUCCAAUGAAUAUCCGAAAUAAAUCAUUAGAAUUAAUUUUCAUAUUUUAUAAUAUGAUAAUAAUAACGUGUUCACUUAGAUUAUUAAGUUUAUUUUAAGCUAACUCAUGAAAAUAUUUAUUUUUAUUGCCUCUUGUUUAUAAAUGUAAAUAUGUGUAUAUAUAUCAUGUAUAUAUUUAUAGAAAGUCCUUCUUGUUAUUAUUAUGUUGACAUAAAAAGCAGGUUUCGAGUAUUCGCGGAUUUGGUUUUAGGGAUGGAUUAUCAUCCGAAUCGAUGUUCGGUGCAGUUUCGGAUUUCGAUUUCGGGUUUUGAGUUUGGAAGCACAUAGACUUCACCCGAUCCGAAUCUGCCCCGUUGCCAUCCUUACCCCGUACCCACUGGGCAUACCCGUACCCAUGGUUUUGGAUACGGGUAAUCGGUAAUCCAUGUUCUCGCUUCUGGCGCAUGGGCAUCGCUACACUAAAGCAGGGUGUCACGUCUACGCGUGACGCCAGUAGGCUUAUCAGGAAUGCAUUCAACAUUAAUUUAUAUUGUGUCUCAUUUUUUUCAAGCUUCUAAAUAUUAAUUUUAUUUGGAUUUGUUGUAUGUCAAACACUCUAUGUUUUUUAGCAUUUUUUUAAAAAAACUUAGAUGUACUUAUCAAAUAUUUAUGGUUUUAUAGUAAUAACUCAAAAAGACAGCAUUCCAAACUACUUCAAACCAAGAUAAGAAGGUGACUCGAAUGGUUUUGACGGUUUGGAGAUGGAGGGUGUGAGAUGUUUGGUUUUUGGGAGGAAGAUAGAACAUACUUUUUCGUUUUAGGUAGGGCCAACCGAGGCAGCAGAGGCGAUAAGAGGACGGGUAAUAAUACAUCCGGCUGCCGAUGGUAUGGAUUUUUAUAGGAUCUCUGAGCCUAUAGUGAAUUUUUCACUAUUAAUAUAUGGUCCACUUGUCUUCACCCACAAAGUUUCUUGCUUGUUGUGUUUAAGUUGGCUAUAAGUUUAUAAUCUGCUUCUCCUCCCUCACUUCCUCUCUCCUUCACCUCAACAUAUAACCUACCUACUACUUGCUCUGAUUGUUCGAAUGUGCCGAUCGUUGGACGGAAUACGAAAAUGCUAUCUAUCUUUCUCGAGAAGGUGAUCUCCACGUAACCAUGUCAUAAAAUACAGGAGUAGUCUUUUUUUUUUUGACCUGGGCUCGUUUUAAGAGCAUAUCCACCACUAUAGAACAGGCCUUUGGUCACUUACCCAAAAUGAACAAUAAUCUCGGCCAAAACAGAGUCCGGGACAAAAAAAUAAUUAGUCCCGGUUGGUGAGACCAACCGAGACUAAAAGUCCCCUGCCCAACGGCUAUUAUGACAGACAUCGGCAGAGGGGACUUUUAGUCCUGGUUGGUCUCACCAACCGGGACAAAAGCCUAGCCUUUAGUCCCGGUUGGUACCACCAACCGGGAUUAAAAGCUUUUGUCCCGGUCCGUCCCACCGGCCGAGACUAGUGUUGGAAUUUAGUCCCGGUUUUUAAAAGGAACCGGGAUUAAAUGUCCCUCCCCAUAUUUGAACUCUUCUUCCCGUGGCCGAGCCCAUCGAUCUUCACUCUUUUGCUGUGUUCUUCAUUUGGAGUUGCUUGUUCUAGCUUGCUCUCAUCUCCGGCUAUUGAUUCAUUUCAUCGUUUCUACACCGUCAUCGACUUGUUAAGAGGUCACUAGCUUCAUCUUCUCAAUAUUUAGAAGCGGCGUAUGUCAUUUCCUAGUGUUAUGUAUAUUAUUUUUUAUUUUAUGGUUUUUUUAAGAGGUUAUUAGCUUCAUCGCCAUUUCAAAAGCGACGCGUUUUUUAGAGAAAUAGUGGUAAUAUGUUUUUUAUUUUAAUUAGUUUAGAAAAAAAAUAAAAACAUAUAAUACUUUAAUUUGCAAUUUUUGACCGAUUUAGUUAGUUAAUUAUAACUAGUAUACAUACCACAUUUCAUGAUUAUUUAAGAAAAUAGAGAAUUUUUGUGCUUUUUUAAUUUAGCUUGUUUAGAAAAAAUAGAAAUAUAGAAUUUUAGGUUUUUUGUUACUUUAAUUUCUCUAUUAAAAAUAAAAACAUAUAAUACUUUAAUUUGCAAUUUUUGACCGAUUUAGUUAUUUAAUUAUAACUAGUAUACAUACCACAUUUCAUGAUUAUUUAGGAAAAUAGAGAAUUUUUGUGCUUUUUUAAUUUAGCUUGUUUAGAAAAAUUAGAAAUAGAGAAUUUUAGGUUUUUUGUUACUUUAAUUUCUCUAUUAAAAAUUAGAAACUUAUAAUACUUUAAUUUGCACUUUAUGACAUGGUUAAUUAGUUAAUUAUAACUAGUAUGCAUGCCACAUUUCAUGAUUAGUUAGAAAAUAGAGAACUUUUAUGUCUUUUUAAUUUUGUUGGUUUAGAAAAACCAGAAAUAGAGAAUUUUAGGUUAUUUGUUACUUUAAUUUCUUUAUAAAAGAUUAGAAACUUAUAAUACUUUACAUUGCAAUGCAGACAAUGACACGUCAUUGGAUGUACAAUGUCGAUCGCCGCUCCAAAGAAUUCAUUGAUGGUGUGCAUUAUUUCUUAAGAGUGGCCGAGGAAAACAAGCGGGAUGGAUUCAUAUGUUGCCCAUGUGCCUUGUGUCAGAAUUUGAAGGAAUAUUCUAGCUCUAGAAAUAUUCACUCACAUUCGUUGAAGUCGGGUUUUAUGCCAAACUAUAUUUGUUGGACCAAGCAUGGAGAAAACGGGAUAAUGAUGGAAGAAGGUGAAGAAGAACAGUUGGAGCCUGACGACAUUAUUGCUCAAUACGGUGACUUCGGUGAUACAGCAAUGGGAGAAGCUGAAGAUGAGGCAGAUGCAGAAGGCGCACCUGUUGAAGAUGAUGCUCUUGGUGAUGUCAUUCGUGAGGCACAAAAAGAUUGCGAAAGUAAAAAAGAGAAGACAAAGUUUGACCACAUGUUAGAAGAUCACAAGAAAUUAUUAUACCCAUCUGCCCAGGAUGGGCAAAAAAAACUGGGUACAACACUAGAACUGUUAAAAUGGAAGGCACAGAAUGGUGUAUCCGAUAAGGCAUUUGGGCAAUUACUGAAGAUCAAAAAAAAAAUACUGCCAAAGCCUAAUGAACUGCCCACUACUACGUACGAAGCAAAACAGAUCGUCUGUCCUUUGGGAUUAGAAAUCAAGAAGAUACAUGCAUAUCCUAACGACUGCAUCCUAUACCGUGGCAAGGACUACGAGAAUUUAGAUGAAUGCCCCGUAUGUAAAGCAUCACGGUAUAAGAUCAGGCGAGAUGACCCUGGCGAUGUUGAGGGGGAAGAACGUCCCAGAAAAAAAAUUCCUGCAAAGGUUAUGUGGUAUGCUCCUAUAAUACCACGUCUGAAAGGUCUUUUUAGAAAUAAGGACCAUGCAAAAUUAUUGCGGUGGCACAAAGAAGACCGUAAAGUAGACAACAUGUUGAGACACCCUGCUGAUGGGUCCCAGUGGAGAGCAAUAGACAGGGAAUUUCCAGAGUUUGCAAAAGACGCAAGAAACUUAAGGUUCGCUUUAAGUACGGACGAUAUGAAUCCUUUUGGUGAGCAAAGCAGUAGUCAUAGCACUUGGCCUGUUACACUAUGUAUCUACAACCUUCCUCCAUGGUUAUGCAUGAAGCGAAAGUUCAUUAUGAUGCCGGUGCUCAUACAAGGCCCGAAGCAACCGGGCAAUGACAUUGAUGUCUAUCUAAGGCCAUUAAUUGAAGAACUCCUUCUUUUAUGGAGUGAAACAGGUGUUCGUGUGUGGGAUGAGUACAAACAGGAACACUUCGACCUACGAGCACUGUUGUUUGUGACAAUCAAUGAUUGGCCUGCUCUAAGUAAUCUUUCAGGGCAGACAAACAAGGGAUAUAAUGCAUGCACACAUUGUUUUGAUGACCUUGAUAGUAUAUAUUUGAAAAAAUGCAGAAAGGUCGUGUACCUUGGGUAUCGUCGGUUUCUUUCUAUGAAUCACCCAGUUAGAAAGAAAGGAAAGCAUUUUAAAGGUAAGGCAGACCACCGAUGCAAGCCUCGCAAUAGAACUGGAGAAGAUGUAUUUGAGAUGGUUAAGGAUGUGAAAGUAGUUUUUGGUAAGGGACAAGGCAGCCAACCAGUUCCAAAAGAUGCAGCGGGUCAUGCACCCAUGUGGAAGAAGAAGUCAAUAUUUUGGGAGCUACCCUAUUGGCAAGUCCUAGAGGUUCGGAAUGCGAUCGACGUCAUGCACCUAACAAAGAAUCUUUGUGUGAACCUUCUAGGAUUCAUGGGUGUAUAUGGUAAGCCUAAGGAUUCACUUGAAGCACGACAAGACUUGCAACGCAUGGAAGAACGAGACAACCUGCAUCCAGAGAAGACAGAUGAUGGACGCCAAUAUUUAAGACCUGCUAGCUACACUCUUAGCAAUGAAGAGAAAGAAAUCAUGUUUGAAUGCUUAAGCAGCAUCAAGGUCCCAUCUGGAUUCUCCUCUAAUAUAAAAGGUAUAAUUAAUGUGCCUGAGAAGAAAUUUCUGAACUUAAAGUCGCAUGACUGCCAUGUGCUUAUGACGCAAUUGCUUCCAGUUGCAUUAAGAGGAAUUCUACCUCCACAUGUACGUCUGGCCACCGUAAAGCUAUGUGCAUUCCUCAAUGCAAUUUCUCAGAAGGCAAUCAAUCCACUAGAACUAGCUGCUCUACAGAAUGAUGUGGUUCAAUGUCUUGUCAGCUUUGAGUUAGUGUUCCCACCAUCCUUCUUUGAUAUCAUGACACACCUCCUAGUUCAUCUGGUCAAGGAGAUCAAUAUUCUGGGUCCUGUGUUCCUACAUAAUAUGUUUCCCUUUGAGAGGUUUAUGGGAGUUCUCAAGAAAUAUGUUCACCAACGUGCUCGGCCAGAAGGAAGCAUCGCCGAGGGCUAUGGGACAGAGGAGGUCAUUGAGUUCUGUGUUGAAUUCAUUCCUGAACUUGACCCAAUUGGUGUUCCUGAAUCACGCCACGAGGGGAGACUGAGUGGAAAGGGAACACUAGGAAAGAAAACAUACAUCGGUACGGGGGACGAUUCUUUUAAUAAAGCACACUACACAGUUCUUCAAAACUCAUCCGUGGUGGAGCCGUAUGUCACGAAACACAAGGACUUCCUACGAUCGCAAUUCCCAGAGAAGUAUGAAGGUUGGCUUAUGCGUCAGCACAUAGACACUUUCAGUGAUUGGUUACGAAAAGAAUGUCAGGGUAAUGACCAGAUUGAUGAGCAACUGUAUUUGUUGGCUAGGCAACCAUCAUGGCACAUCCUCACGUACAAAGGGUACGAGAUAAAUGGAAAUACAUUUUACACCCUAGGCCAAGAUAAAAGAAGCACGAACCAAAAUAGUGGAGUUCGCGUAGACGCCAUAGACCCGAAUGGAAACAGACAAACAUAUUAUGGUCGUAUAGAGGAGAUUUGGGAACUAGACUACGCACCUAAUUUUAAAAUCCCUUUGUUCCGGUGCCAAUGGGUGAAGGUUACCGGAGGCGGGGUGACAGUUGACAAAGACUAUGGAAUGACAACAGUGGACCUCAACAAUGUUGGUUACAAAGAUGAACCAUUCGUCCUUGCUGCUGAUGUGAAUCAGGUGUUCUAUGUGAAAGACAUGUCUACAAAACAGAAGAGAGGGAAAAAUGACAACAAAUCAACAAACGAGCCAAAACGCCAUAUAGUUCUCUCAGGGAAAAGAAACAUUGUGGGAAUUGAGGACAAGUCAGAUAUUUCAGAAGAUUAUGAAAGGGAUGACCAAAUCACGCCUUUCAAUGUGACCAAAGAUCCGAGCAUACUGAUAAAUGCUGAGGACACUCCAUGGUUACGUCAAGAUCAUGACCAAGGAACAUACGUCAAAAAGAAGAUCACUAUUGUGCCCGCCUAAUAAAUAGAUUACAAUAUAGUAUGUGUAUGUGACAAUUGUAACUUAAGAUGUUUAUAUUAGUUUUUCUUAUUUUAUAUCAUUUCAAAUAAUGAAAUGACAUUUAAGUUUGCUAUUAUAAUAGAUGUGUCAAUUAUUUGUCAAAUACAAAAAUAGUCAAACUUGGUCAAAUGACAAACUAAAUUACUUAAAAUGAAAAAAUUAUGAAUACCAAUUUGUUAGAUAUCAUCAAGAUCUAAACUUUUUAUAUAGACAACUUUUCUAUUUGAGAAAGUUUAAGUUCACAAUACCCACCAAUUUUUGAAUCUCACACAAACUAUAUGAAACUACAUGUGUCAAUUGUGGAUUUUGAACUACACCUUCGCAACACUUUGUCAAAUGCAAAAAUGGUCUAUAUAUUAAAUGUAGAUUUUGAUGAGUGGAACAAUAUUGAUAUUCAUGACUUUUCCGUUCAAGACCAUCUAGGGUUCCGAAAAACCAUGCGUGGCUAUGAAUUCUAUCAAAAUUCAAAAUUGAGUGGUUCAAACUUUUCCAAAAGAAAAGUUGACCAUUAGACAAAAUGUAGAACUUGAUGUGUGCAACAAACUUUGUAUUCAUUACUUUUCCAUUUGGGACCAUAUAGGGUUCGGUCAAAGUGUGUGUUUCUAAAAACCAAUGCUUUGACUUUGGUCAAACUUGGUCAAAUGACCCAUUUGAUGACUUGAAAUGAAAAAAAUUUGAAUACAAAGUUGUUAGAGAUCAUCAAGAUCUACAUUUGAUAUAUUGUCCAUUUUUCCAUUUGGAUAAAUUUGAGCCAAUCCUAAGCACAUUUGUUCAAAAUCCAAGACGGGUAUUGGUCAAACUUGGUCAAAUGACAAACUAAAUUACUUAAAAUGAAAAAAUUUUGAAUACCAAUUUGUUAGAUAUCAUCAAGAUCUAAGCUUUUUAUAUAGACAACUUUUCUAUUUGAGAAAGUUUAAGUUCACAAUACCCACCAAUUCUUGAAUCUCACACAAACUAUAUGAAACUACAUGUGUCAAUUGUGGAUUUUGAACUACACCUUCGCAACACUUUGUCAAAUGCAAAAAUGGUCUAUAUAUUAAAUGUAGAUUUUGAUGAGUGGAACAAUAUUGGUAUUCAUUACUUUUCCGUUCGAGACCAUCUAGGGUUCCGAAAACCCAUGCGUGGCUAUGAAUUCUAUCAAAAUUCAAAAUUGAGUGGUUCAAACUUUUCCAAAAGAAAAGUUGACCAUUAGACAAAAUGUAGAACUUGAUGUGUGCAACAAACUUUGUAUUCAUUACUUUUCCAUUUGGGACCAUAUAGGGUUCGGUCAAAGUGUGUGUUUCUAAAAACCAAUGCUUUGACUUUGGUCAAACUUGGUCAAAUGACCCAUUUGAUGACUUGAAAUGAUAAAAUUUGAAUACAAAGUUGUUAGAGAUAAUCUGAUGUAAUGGUCAAUAUUGUUGUAAGCAUAAAUAAAUAAGAAAUAGAGAAAAAAUUUUAAAAAAUAAUUCGAUGUAAUGGUGAAUAUCACGUAUAUCAUGAUUUUGGAGAUAAAUGAUGAUAAAUAAACAAAAUUUACGUUUAAAUAUUGCACAAACAAAUUUUUGUAUCAAAAACAUCUGCUUUAAGAUAUUAAAAUUAAAUAAUAAAUUUUUCCAUUAACAAAAUACUAAUUAUUUUUAGGGUUUAAGUUUGUUAAUAUAAGUGAUGAAAAGAUUUUAUGUUUCCAAAUUUAUUAUGUAACCAAUUAGACAAAAUGAAAUGAAACUAUUAUUUUUUAACAAAUUAAUACCUAUUAUUCUAUUUACUAUGCAGUUAACAACAUUAAUCUAAUUAUUGUAUGCAUAAAUAAAUAAGGAACUGAAAAAAUACAUUUAGUCCCGGUUCCUAGCUAGAACCGGGACUAAAGGAUACCUUUAGUCCCGGUUCUGGCCAGGAACCGGGACUAAAGGGUGAACCUUUAGUCCCGGUGUGUAGUACCAACCGGGACUAAAGACCUUUUAGUCCCGGUUGGUGCUACGUACCGGGACUAAAGGUCCCACGGGGUAUUUAACCGAGCAGUCGUCUUCCUCCUGGAUCUCGUUGCCCUAAUUCUUCAUCCGCCGCGCGCCGCUCCUCCCCGCUGUCGCCUCGCCCUCGUCCCCGGCCGAGCGCCGUCGUCUGGAGCCCAGGAGCGUCGCCGCUGCCACUGCAACCGAGGAGCGCCCCCACCGCCACCGCCACCGAGCCGAGGAGCGCCCCCACCACCACUUCUUCUCCGGCGCCGACGCUUCUAUCUCCGGCGACUGUACCGGCGCCGACGCUUCUUCCUCCUUGCCCUCAUCGCCCCCGCGGCCACCUCCUCGCCCUCGUCAGAGCGCCCCCACGGCCGCCUCCUCGCCCUCGUCAGAGCGCCCCCGGCCGUCGCUCUCCUCCCCGGCCAGAGAACUCGCGCCGCCGUCGUCGAGGGUGAGCACGUACACAGAGAAAAAAUGAUUAUUGAUGAUGUGUUGUAUGAAUUGUUGAUUUGUUGUAUGAAUGAGAUGUGAUAUGUUGUAUGGAUGAGAUGAUUUUAGGCCUUGUUUAGUUCCAAAAUUUUUGGCAAAAUGAGCACUGUAGCAAUUUCGUUUGUAUUUGACAAAUAUUGUUCAAUCAUGGACUAACUAGGCUCAAAAGAUUCGUCUCGUCAAUUCUGACUAAACUGUGCAAAACUAUGAAUCGGUUCCCAAACGCAGGCCCACGAGAAAUACGUACCUCUCGCCAAAACGUACUCCUACAUCUACACUUGUUGUAAGCCGAUCGACGAAACACAUGCGCUCACGAAACGUACACUUUUUAAAAAUCAAACAAUUCAAAAUUUUUAUGACAUUUCUAUAAAAGAUAUAAAUAUUAUUAGAUUAAUUAUUUAUAUAUUUUUAUACUAUAAAUUUACUUGAGACAAUUAAAAACCUUGUUUUGUAUCCAGUGUUGUAAUUAGUUAGUAGGGAUAGAUAUUGAGAUGAGAUGUAUAAUUUCUAUUUUAUAAUUUAUCUUUUGUAUUAUAUAAUUUAUAUGAUAUAAUUUAUCCUAUGUUGUAAUUAGUUAGUAGGGAUAGAUAUUGAGAUGAGAUGUAUAAUUUCUAUUUUAUAAUUUAUCUUUUGUAUUAUAUAAUUUAUAUGAUAUAAUUUAUCCUAUGUUGUAAUUAGUUAGUAGGGAUAGAUAUUGAGAUGAGAUGUAUAAUUUCUAUUUUAUAAUUUAUCUUUUGUAUUAUAUAAUUUAUAUGAUAUAAUUUAUCAUGUGUUGUAAUUAGUUUGUGGGGAUAGAUAUUGAGAUGAGAUGUAUAAUUUCUAUUUUAUAAUUUAUCUUUUGUAUUAUAUAAUUUAUAUGAUAUAAUUUAUCAUGUGUUGUAAUUAGUUUGUGGGGAUAGAUAUUAAGAUGAGAUGUAUAAUUUUUAUUUUAUAGUUUAUCUUUUGUAUUAUAUAAUUUAUUUGAUAUAAUUUAUCAUGUGUUGUAAUUAGUUUGUGGGGAUAGAUAUUGAGAUGAGAUGUAUAAUUUUAUUUUAUAGUUUAUCUUUUGUAUUAUAUAAUUUAUAUGAUAUAAUUUAUCAUGUGUUGUAAUUAGUUAGUAGGGAUAGAUAUUGAGAUGAGAUGUACAAUUUGUAUUUUAUAAUUUAUCUUUUGUAUUAUAUAAUUUAUAUGAUAUAAUUUAUCCUAUGUUGUAAUUAGUUAGUAGGGAUAGAUAUUGAGAUGAGAUGUAUAAUUUGUAUUUUUUAAUUUAUCUUUUGUAUUAUAUAAUUUAUAUGAUAUAAUUUAUCUUAGUUGUUGUAUCGAAUAUUGUCUAAGUUUUAACACUUGAUUAAAUUUGCAGAAAUGGCCAAUCCGAAUGACAACAUGGAUGAUGCAAUGAUGGACCUAAUCAACAGCGGUGCCAAUCCAGAUCCCCAAGGCGAAGAUGAUGGGAGUCAAUACUUUGUUGAUUAUGAAGAACUUAUGGGAGACAAUCCUGAUCAGGUCUAUCUACAAUCUAGUAUAUAUGUAUAUAUAUGAAAUUAAAAUAAAUGACAUUUAUACUAAUAUAUUUAUACUUGUUUGUGUAGCCCUCUAAAUCGGCGACAACUUCUGAGAAGAGUAGAAAAGUGCGCGGCCCGAAGAAGCCGUUGGAGGGUCGGUACAUUCUGUCGGAAUUCGAUGAGGGUACAGGACAAGUACUUGGAGCUUCUAAAAAAUUUGUUGCGCACUGUGGCUACCUUGUAAGGGACAGGCUCCCGGUCAGUGCUCGUGAAUGGAGGCAACGGAAAGAUAACCCUAAUAUUAGUUUUGUCUCAGAUCGUGACAAGGAAUUGAUUUGGUAAGAUAUCCUUCAACAUUUCACGCUCGAUACACAGGAUGAAGCUUUGAAGGAGAAGGUUAAAAUCUGGGCUAUGCAGAAGAUGGCCAAACAAUUUCAGGCUUGGAAGAAGACAUUAUACAAGACUUUUGUUGCACAAGGCCGGACACCAGAUUUCACCAACAAGGCCUACGUCAAGUUGAGGCCUUUUUGGGAUGAGUUCGUAGAGUUUAAGAACUCAGAAGAGGGUCAGUCACGGAUGAUCAAGAAUCAAGAAAAUGCUAAACAAAAGCAAUACCACCAUCACUUGGGUUCAGGUGGCUACAGGACUGCUAUUCCUAAGUGGCAAAAGCUGGAACAGGAGAUUCUUGGGAGAGGGAUCGAACCAGAAUCAAUGCACUGGCCCGAACGCGCCAAGUAUUGGUUCUUUGGUCAUGGGGAACCAUAGACCUAGAGACCGGAAAGAUAGUGUACGGCGAAAAGCUCGAGAGAGUAGGACAAAGAAUGGCCUAUGCUAGAGGAUUAGUUGAAAGCGGCACCUGGCAGCCAAAUAGAGAAAAGGAUGAGCUGACAUACGCCCUGGAGACUGCUGAACAUGGUGGGCGAACCAGAGGCUAUGGGGAGAUAUCAUGGGAGCAUGGCUUCCCUAAAGAUAGACCGACUUAUAGAAGCCGCCAACGAAAGAAGGAAGAGGAAGCAGAGCGGUUGCAUAGGUUGGAGGCAAUGGUGAUUGAGUCACGCGAAGCAGCUCGUGAAGCGAUAGCGCGAGAGAAAGCGCUUGAAGAGAGAAUGAACGAGGAGAUCAAAAGACAAGUGCAGAUUGCAGUAAGUUCUAUACAAGGGCAAACUGCAUCAGAGCCUAGAGUCAACAUUAGCCCCCCCGGUCUGUUGAAAAGUAGUUGCGCUUCCACAGAGAUGCCAACUAUUCAAGACGACGUGGGGCUGCACUUUCCGGUGGAUGACAUCACUGAGCCUCUGACAACAUGUGAGCUGCACAUUCCACAGGGGACUGCCACAGUCAUGGUUGCUGUCGCUGUUGUAACUCUUGUCGACCCUACAAGGACACCAAGAAUCCAUGGGGCGAUAAUUCCACCUGGAUAUGCUAGUGUCUCGGUGGAUAGAGUUGUCAAAGGCUUCAGUAAUGUGCAGCUUGAGAUAGAAGGAGGUGAUGGAGAGAAGACUCUAGGAGAAGCAGAGAAGACUUUUAUUUAUUGGCGCAAGCGCUACAUCAUUAUUCCUGGGGCAUCACCUAGUAGUCUACCACCACCUCCUCGUCAUGAAUCUAAUCCUAGGUGCGGAUGAAAAUUGACUAUACAUUUGUUCACUAUAUUUAUUUUGCAUUCUCUUAGUUAGCGGUUUACUCAUAUACCUUUUAUUUUCACAGGUGGUCACCGACAUGUCAUAGUGCUGCGGGUGAUGACGAGGGAGUGCAAGACAUGGCUGCAUCGCCUCGGUCUCCAACGCCACCACCUAGGGCUCCAACACUGCCACCUCGGGCUCCAACACCACCACGUAGAGCUCCAACGCCACCUAGGGCUCCAACGCCGCCUCCUCGGGCUCCAACACCGUCACCGGCCGCCCCAUCGCCUCCACACGUGGCUCCAGCACGAAAGAAGAGGCCGGCCACAAAAUCAAAUGUGUCGGCCGCCCCGCCGCCAAAAAAGAAAGCCUCCGAAAAGAAACAAGCUAUCAUUCCUAAGAAGCUGUCCUAUGAUCAGAUGACUGAUGCAGAAAUAAAUGCUUCAGUUAAAUCAGAUGUGGAUAGUUUCUUCAAGAAACUUAAGACUGAAAGAGAAGCCAAGCGAAACCCUGAGAAGCCGUACCUCUUACUACGGCCAGAAGAUCUACGACAAAGGGUUGAGGCUGAACAAAAAAAGAGGCGUGAAGCUCAGAAAGAAUCAUCAUCUUUAUCAGACUAUGAUCGCACUUUAAGAAAAUCCAUAGAAGAAGAGAAGAACAAAGAGAAAAGAGCACGCAAGGGUGUAGCACAGCUCGGGGAACAAUCAAAGCAAUCAGUGCCCCCGCUAGUCAUUGGAAAUGAAUAUGGUUCAAACAUUGACGUGCUAGACCAACAGAUACCGGCAGAUUUAAAAAUUGAAGAGCUUGAAUUUUUUUUUGCGGAAACUGGUCUUAGCUUAGCCCAAAUGAUAGCGGAGGCACCGAUUGAAAGUGCUCCACAAAUUGAUCAUUGGCAGAAGGAAUAUACAUAUGGCAAGAGUUUAUACAACCCUGCGGCCCUCAGCAAGCUUGGAACGCAAAUGUACAUGCUAAACAAAUGGUACAUGGAAGCGUGUGCCAGAAAAGCUGAUGACUAUAUUUGUGUCCGAAUUAGAAACUAUCAUUACUUCCGUGGUGAUGAUAUUAUUUAUGUUCAAUUUAAUGAGCUACAACAACUAUGCCACAUGGACGCUCUUGACAAAUCUCUAAUGAGUUGCUUCUGUCUGUAAGUGAUUCUUCCUUUCAAUAAUGUCUCUGUAACUUAUCAUGUAUAUAUAUAACUAAUUACAGAAACCCGCUAUACAUAUGCAGAAACAUGAUGAGGGAUCUCAGAGUUAGAAAUGACAAGGAGAUUGGAUUUGUGGAUCCAAAUAUUGUAUUCAAAGACCACAAGACCCCGUAUGUUUUAUGGAGAACUCAAACGGAGAGAAAUUUAUGGAGAUUCUUGAUCAACCAAAAAGAUAAAAGAUAUAUACUCUUUCCCUACAACUUUAAGUAAGUGUCGUUAUCGUGUGUACAUUCUAUUUAACUAAUUAUUCAGAUCAAUAUGAAGAUAUAUACUAAUUUUGCCUACAUAUGCACACAAAUGCAGCUUUCAUUGGAUACUAAUUGUCAUUGAUCUCUGGCAAUGUCAAUUGGUAAUCUAUGACUCAUUGAGAAAACCACAGGAUGAUUACCAAGAAAUGAUAGAUAUUAUCCAAGGGUAACUCCGAUCUCUAUAUAUUAAAUUCUGCUCUUUUAACUUGGUAAUGGAUAAUUAAUAAUGAUCGUUUUAUUGCUAGGGUUUGGGCUGGGUUCGUGCAGAAACACCGUCCAGAGUUGAAUGCAUCACUUUCAAAGCCAACUUACUUCAGUGGGUUCUACGGCAGACACCGGGCAACAAUUUGUGUGGCUACUAUGUGUGCGAGUUUAUGACGGUGUAUGCCAAAAGAACUAAUCUUGAGCACCUAAAAGUAUGUAACAUGUAUAUAUAAUAAGUAUAUUUCAUUUAUUUGUUGCUAUUUAAUAAAUCCUAUCCAUACCUCUAACUUUUUUCUUUAAUGUCUAUUAAAGGAGAUGUGGCUGAAGGAGCAGGUGUUGGAUGCGGUGCGCCUAAAAGGAAUUCAGGAGACAAUCGCAGGAUUUCUUAACGACCAAGUCCUGGAUUCCGGCGGCGAGUGCUACUUCAACCCUCAGGAGCAGAUGAAACCAAAUAACGAUGAUCAUUUGUACGAUGCUUGAGUGGUGGAGAUAAAUUGUGUUGUAAAUACUUUGUCCGUGAAGCAUAUGUGUAAAUAUUUUAUUAUGGACCUAUAGAUACAUAUUAUUUAUAUAUAUAUAUAUAGUGUUUUAUAGUAUAUUUAUAUGUAAUCCUUUAAAUUAUAUAAAUUAUAGGUGCGCGUUCCAUAAACUACCAGCAAACAAUACGCAUUUGAAAAUAACAAUAACAUAAUUGUAAACCCUAAAUGGAAAACCAAAUGAAAAGAAAAAGAAAAAAGAAAAAAGUCUUUAGUCCCGGUUGGUAGCAACAACCGGGACUAAAAGUGGAGGCCAGGUGGCACACCCUGGCGCACCUUUUAGUCCCGGUUGCUGUUACCAACCGGGACUAAAGGUGGGACAUUUAGUCCCGAAACCUUAGCCCCGGUUCCGUAGCCGGGACUAAAGGCGCUUACGGCCCACCAACCGGGACUAAAGGUGGGACAUUUAGUCCCGAAACCUUAGCCCCGGUUCCGUAGCCGGGACUAAAGGCGCUUACGGCCCGGGGCUAAAGCCCUUCCCUGUACUAGUGAUCUAAGAAUUAAUAAAAUGAAAGUUCCAAAACCUUGCUUUCUCAGCCACCCAAAAACAAUUGGGAGCAGAACAACACGGCCGACUCCGGAUGAUGAGGGGAUGGCUAUUUGCUAGGCACCAAUGAGGAACGAGGUGUGGCAAUAUCAAUGGCAGACGACGUGUGAGAAGAAGAGGAAAUGCACAACUGGUAGGGCCGGGCAAUGUGGAAACUUAGCGAGUCUCGCGAGAUUUUUUUCACCACGAGGAAAGAUGGGAAUUGAUGAUAAAGAGUUAUUAUUGGUGGUCCGUUUUUCACUCUCAACAACAAAACCGAUUUUGGAGUUGAUUUAGUGAUUUGUUUGAAGAUGUUGUAAUCCUUUUAUAAGUUUGUAUUUUGUCAAAAACUUAUUUGCAGUAAAUUUCAGGUUUGGCUCCCGCGGCGAUAUGACAAUAAACCCCGCACCUUUCUUCACUAUGGUUAGAGGAUCGUAGGUAGAAAGGUGUGGGGUUUGUUGUCAUAUUGCUGCAGGAGUGAAGAAACGUGUGGGGUUUGUUGUCGUAUCGCCGCAGGAGCCAAACUAGCAGCAGCCCUUCUCCGUUGACCUCAAGACCAUGGAGGUGGCGCCUGCAACAGAGGAUACAAGGGAAGGGAUGACAUGCAUAUCGGUGUGAGUUUCCAUGGCCACCAGUUUUGCAAGUUUGCUUGGAUAGAUGAUGGAUUUACUAAAUUCAUUUAUGUUUUUAUUGAUGAAAAACAUAGGUGUUUCUUCAAUUUUUGCUUAUGUUGGUAAAUAAUAUAGAUGUAACUUUUUUGAUUCCAAUGGAGACAUCUCUCCCACUUGUGUUUCCUUUUCCCUUGAAAACCCUCCUUGCCGUGUACAACGUCUUCUUCAAAUCGAACCUAUGCACAUUGAGGGGGUGCUACCAUUCAUUGGUUUUAGCUUCCUAGGAUCUAUUGGACCUCAGCUUUGGGACCUUCUAAAAGCCAAAAAACUCCCACGAGUUAAAAGCCCAAAAGCUCACUUUGUUGAGGAGCUUCUGGCUAUUGGCUUCCUUGAGCUUUUUUUAUUUUUGGAAGCUCCCAUAGUUGUUGACGUCCACAAGGUCUUAGGAAUCCCAAACAAACAAGUCCCAAGUCUGUAUCAAAUUAAAAUACAACCUUGAUAGAUUUUGUUUUUCAUUUGUUCUAAGACAUUGAAAUAUAUCAUAGCUUUAAUUUUUAUACUAUCUAUAUGCGAGUAGAGAUAGAUAUCAAGUUCCAUGACUUGUUUUGAGGACCCAUAAAUAUAUAUAAUUCCAAGGAGUUAGUUGCCAUUAUUAUGUCAAAAACUAAUCUAUCUGUUGAUGAGUAUGACAGAGAUUUCUCUCAAUUUUCACAUUGCAGUUUUCCUCGAGGAUUGCACUGAUAUAUGUGUAUAGUUGAACAUACAUUUAUUUUGAUCAAAUUGAAUAACUAUCUACUUAUGAUUAUGAUUUCAGUUUAAGGAUUAAUUGAACCAUCGCCUGAUCCAAGCCCAAAUAAAAAAUAACUUUUAUUUCUACCUAAACUAUAUAAAAAAUGUUGUGGUAAAAAUAUUAUUUAUUAGAAAAAAUCAUGGGUUUAAGGAUUCAUAAUAUUAUAUUUAUUAUUUAUUUUUAAUAUUAUAAGAAAAAGAGAUACUCUCAUAGAAAAGAGUGGGAAAAAAGGAAGGGAAACACCGCCCUUUUGACCAGGCAGACGCUUGACAGAAAAACAAAAAUACAAAGAACACUGACACCAUAAUUAAAAUUGUUACUAAUGAUUUGGCUCGGAUUAGAAUGGUGUUUUUGUGAGCGAAUGAUCAAGCCUGUUCCGCGAUUUGGCUGGACGAAAAUAUAAAUGCAGAAAAUUGGACUCUUUAAGUACAAUAAAUAUAUGUAAUAUAAAAAAGUAAUUGCCUCGUCGAGAUAGAAUGAUCUGCUAUAGAUAAGGAUGAAAACAGUUGGAAACAUAAUAUAAUAUAGAAAAUGAACGCGGUUGGUUUGGGAUAUUUCUACAUUUUAGCAAUUAAGGAGUACAAAAAAUGGUUGCAAAUAGUUGUGAAACCAAAUGAAACCAACAAAUUUUUUUGUUUGACAAAAUUUAGAAAUGGUAUCGUAAUAUAGAAAACGGUAUCAUAUAUAAUACAGAAAAUAAAAGCGGUCCGUUCUGUUUUCAUCCUUAGCUAUAGAUACAGUGAUUUGGUGGUGUUGAGUUGAUAAUAACUAUCACAAAAAAAGAAUUGAUAUACAACUGCUCUAUAUAUUUAGAGUGGGACUAGGGAUACUAAUCCUUUCAUCGAGAAGAAAGGUGGAAUUAAUCAACUUAGUCAAUGGGUAACUGAGACAUUAGGAGCUGUGAGAACAAGAUUGGUUUGUAGAUCCUAGCGAACCACACCUUCCCACCUGUGACGAUUAUGUACAAACAAAUGUGUAAGGGCAUCUUCAUCUUUUUGAUGAGUCAGAUUAUGUGUAAAUUAGUUGUAGUUAGGUGUUUCUGUGGUUAGGCUCGGUGAUCGUAAGUGAAUCAGAUCUAACACAAGUGACCAAUACAACAAGUGGAGCUCCAUAAUGUACUCAAAACUCAUCAUAAGUUAAAAAAUUUAAUAGAAGCAGAAGCUUGGUGUUUAGUUAUGAAAUGUUCCACUGUUUCACUUACUGUAUACUUGAGAACAUACAAAAUGGUUAUUUGUUUAAAUCAUUGACAUGAGAUGAUGAAUUUGUAAUAAAGAAGGAGCCAAUGUGCAAUUUUCGAAUUAACAGCACUACUAGUAGGUCUUGGGGAAAAAACAUCAUCAAUAAUAGAAAACAGAUGAAACAAAACAAACACUAGGAAAUUCGAGCAGUAGCAGCGAACAUGGCGUAAGGUAAUCUUCGUGGCACGCCGAGACCUCCAACAGCGGCGUACACAGACUCCAAGAGCGAGAGGCUAUGGGCACAGCCACACGGGCAGAGCAGCAGGCAGCAGCGUCAACUAGUAGAAGCGGGCUGGAUGUCACUGUGGACAAGCAGAGAGAAGAAUUGUGAGCAUAAAGACACUAUUCGUGUUGACAAAUUCUGCUGAAAAAAAGGAAACGAGAAGGUAAAGUUGUUAGUGCACAGGAUUCACUGACCUGUUGGUCGUUGUUGGUGUGAUCACUUGUGAGAUCUCUCCAGCGUGGUCAGGAAGGGAUUCUGUUGCUUCCACCAACACAUUGGAUCCAUCAACGUCUCCCAGGUCAUGGUAGCUUCGUCCCUGUGGCAGCCGCAGGACAGGACGAUUGGGGUGUUUGUUCACUUCCUCUUCCAGCAUGCGAAGCCUUAACACCUUAGUAUGAUCGAAUAAAAUCACCUUGAGCCUUGGAAGGUGCUUGAUACCAUUAAUCCCUGACUUCAAAUUGCAGUACCUGAUUUCUAUCCUUUCCAUCUGAUGGGAGGUGCCCUCCUCAAAUCUAAUCUCUUUCAGGCCGUCCAUUUGCCAAAUCUCAAGUGCCCUAAUGUUCAGGAAUGCUCCGGUUCCAAACACUAAUUUCUCCAUCGUUUUGGCAGUGGACGGGAGGUAUCCACUGGAGAAAAAUUGAAGGAGCAUGAGUUUUGGCAGCUCCCCAAGUAUCUCCAUCGUUUUAUCUUCCUUUAGCUGGCUCUUGUAUAAGAAAAUCUUAACCAGGUGUGUAAGAUUCCUGAACCAAUCAGUCAUCUCUCCUAUAUAUCCGUACAAGCUGAGGCUCCUCAGGUAGGGAGGAGGGGAGGAAGAAGAAAUCAACCAUCCAAGUCCUCUAUCUUGGUUUCCGCCGACCAACACAUGUGAGAGAACGAAGGGAAGAGAGCUUCUCAAUGGAUUCACAGAGUAUCUUACACUUUUUCUUGGAAGCCCCGUUUGUUCCCAUGACUAGUUUUCUUAAUCGGGUCAGCUCCCCGAGCUCUUUAACUGCUUUGCUGCUAGUUCUUCUAAUGUCCACAGACUCUAAUAUCUGCAGCUCUUGUAAGUUGCCAACUCCUCUUGGAACCCUGACUCCAUCUCCACCAGUCCUGGACCAACCACUAGAACAGCCCAUGUGUAGAUCACCAAUUGCUCUGGCGCGGCUUCUUGAAUCAGCUAAUAGGAAUGGCAGGCGCAAUGUCCCAAACAAACAGUCCACUGGUUCAUUUGGAUCCAAAUCAUCAUAGGUUUCCCUAAUACAGCGGAUGACACGGAGAUCUUCAAGUCUAGUGAUUUCCGUUGGUAGAGUUGUAAGAUAAGUGUAUCCCAUGUCCAAAAUUUGUAAGCCUUGCAUUUUUCUUAUGUCACUCGGAAGUGAAUAGAUUUGUGACUGGUAAGACUUGACAUUGAGAUAUUUCAAGUGACACAAUAGCACUAUCAUAUUUAUACCAUCUUGUGUGAUUCUAAAGUGUUCACCCACUAAAUCCAAAACUCUUAGCAUCCUCAACUUAGGUGAUGAAAUUGAAGGGGUGAGAUCCAGGACAUGAGCAACCUCAACAGUAAAAAAUGUCAAUGAUCGAAUGUGCCUCCAAUCCAUGGAUUUCUUGUGGUACUUGCUAUCAUGGUAUGUGACAUGACGGAAAUUUUCCUCUUGUACAUGAUUUCCAUUACUCCGGAUUAAGCAGACAAAAUUUUCUUCUCUACAAAUUGAGACUAUGAUAUCACGCAUGAUGUCAUGAACUCGACAAGUUUUAACACUUCCCUCUAUACCCAACUCUGAUGAUUGAAUCAUACUCCGGCUGAUUAGCUCAUCAAAGUACUCUUUCCCAACGUCAUCAAUGGUUGUCCCAACCUUUGCUCUUACAAACCCUUCUGCUAUCCAUCUAUGUACCAGAUGACUUCUUUUGAUUUCAUAAUCCUCAGGGAAAAUGCUGAGAUACAGAAGACAUGGCUUAAGACGUGAGGGCAAGUGGUUGUAGCUGAGGGUCACCACCCUCCGUAUUGCUUCAAGGCUUGGGUUACUUUCAAGCUCCGAAGGGAGCUUAUUAUAGAAGUUUUCCCACUCUGUUAUCUUCUUAGUAGCAAGAACGCCACCAAUUGUGAGUAUUGCCAAUGGUAAAUAUCCACAUUUCUUCACUACUUUUGUAACUAGUGUUCUCAGGUUCCCAUCAUUGUUCAUGUCAUCGUCUGCUAUCUUUGUCUUCCUUUGUAGCAACUUUAUGGCGUCAGGUAUUUGUAGGUGCUUCAGGUGGUAGAUAUUAUUUUCUGAUGAAGUACAGUGCAGAGCCAAGCCCACAUCUCUGGUAGUAAUCAUUAUCCGACUGCCUCUGUUAUUUGACAUAGGAAGUGCAAUACCACGAAUGCAGUUCCAGUGAUCUAUUUCCCAUAGGUCAUCAAAAACAACAAAGUACCUCUUAUCCUCAAGCUCCUGCCUAAGGUAGCUGGCAAGGUCCUGUUCCAACACUUUUCCAGCGGAUUGUUUUAAGAGAUCGUUCAGUGCAUUAACACCAAAGAGUUUACUGAUCAUGUCUUGGAGUAUCACCCUCCUAGAAAAUGACUGUGACACGGUGAUCCAAGCUCUAUAAGGAAAGCUCUUCAGAGUAUCAUCCUUGCUUUCAUAGGUUUUCCUUGCAAGAGUAGUCUUCCCCAAACCACCCAUGCCAACCACACAUACCACCUUAUCAGGACCAUCCAUAGUGGUGACAUCAAUCAGAGCAAUCAACUCUCUUUUAGGUGCUUCAAAGCCCACAAGUUCUGCUUCGUCAAUGUUGCAACC